Molecule: long non-coding RNA, 50036 nt
Filed under: Triticum aestivum (bread wheat)
Lineage: Eukaryota; Viridiplantae; Streptophyta; Magnoliopsida; Poales; Poaceae
Description: long non-coding RNA (TAES_LNC016314)
Source: RNAcentral
UUUUUUUCUGGUGCUAGAUAAUUUGGUGUGUGAUGUGGGUUCCAAAUUUUAGAUCAUUUGGACAUACGACUAGCUCUCAGAAAAAAGACAAAUUGGGAUCAGAAUAGUAUAUUUACUUACAAACACCAAUUUAUCUUUUUGCUGAGAGCUGCUCAGAUGUUCAAACGAUCUGAAAUUUGGGGCGCACCUCACACACAAAAUUAUCUACCACCAAAAAAAUUGGAAAUUUUUGAAUUUUUCUAGUUUUUGUUUUGAAUUUUUUGUUCAACGCAGGUGCAGAUGAGCCUGGGCAUCAAAUCGCUACACUCGAUUUUCUUGGGCUAUCGACUGUCUGCCUACUCUCUCCUCCAUCUAGAUAAGUUUCCUACGUGUAUACCUUAUAGACGGCUGACAAAGCGUUGUUGUACAUGCCCUAAAAGAAACUAACUGUCAGAUUUCGGGUUCCGCAAACCCUUGAGAGGUUCAAACUCUAGGGUGCCUGCGAAGAUCUCACUCUCCCCAGUCUGUCGACUCGCCAAUCUCACAGCCUAGCGCGUCGAGCUCAAAGGAAAUGGGACACGGCAAUUUACCCAGGUUCAGGCCACCUUGCGGUGUAAAAUCCUACUCCUGCUUUGUGGUGGAUUUGCCUCGAGGGGCUGAGGGUGAACUAGUACAGUGGAGAACAACCUCAGGAGGUGUGUUCUUGGGCUCAAGUGAGCUGGUGAGGGUGGAGUGGAUGUCGUUUCAUCUCCCUCCUUUGGUGGUGGCUAGGUCCUAUUUAUAGUGGCCUUGGUCCUCUUCCCGAAUGGAGGCAGAAAGGGAUCCCACAACGGCCAAUUUUGAAGGGAGGCAACAAGUACAUCUUAUCCUAACUAAAGAGGUCUUCACCUACAAAAGCCUCUGGUAGUGACGCUGCGGUGGGCUCGGCGAUGACCUCCAUCUUGCCGUCCUGGCGGUCUUGGUCUUGUUGCACGGGAAUGGAAACCUUUGGAUGCUUCCUCGGGACUCCGUGCCUGCUGCUUGCCUCCUUUGCACCAAAGAGAAAACUAGUACACUACACCCGCUGGCGCCCGCCGGCCUUAAUCGUCAUGGCUCACGUCACCCGAACCUCGCGAGGCGAGCCUUGCAUAGAAAUAUCCGCUCCUUGGGAGCCGGCCUGAGGAGGCUGAUCCCCUUGGAGGUCUUGGUGUCGUCCGCCUCACGAGGCUUGGCCCCUCGCGAGGGUCUUGGGUUGUCGAUGUCAAAACUGGGUCGUACCAGGCCGUCGGUGGAGCCACGUCGCGGGCCGCAGGCAGGCAAGUCUGGGUACCCCCGUAUCCAAAACGCAGACAGUAGCCCCCGGGCCCAAGGCGUGCUCGGACUUGGCUUCUAGGCGAAGCCAAAGGGCAAGUGCGGAGCGCUGUGGUCCCUAACCGCCUGCGGCCUUGGUCGAUGCAUGGCGAUUGAUGGGACGUGGGCAUCUCCGCUUCCCCAUGCUGCCUCAGCAACUGCCCGACUUGACGAGUCGUUGCUGCAUGCAGAGAAAACCAUCAUUGUGCGGGAUCGUGGAGGCCAGCGGUUGGCCUUCCUCUGGCUAUAAAUGAGGGGGGAGGGGCGGAGCCCCCCCUCGUUCAUCUCCAUCUCCGUCUUCUCACUGCCCGUUCCUUCUUCUUCUUCACCUCGUCGUAGCAUUCAUGGUGCCAGUCAGGAGAUUCUCUGCGGCGGAGAAGGGAAAAGCCCCUCAGGAGGAGCCAGAACCGCUUCCGCCGAAGAAAAGGUUUUGUCGUCCUUGCGAUGCCCGCGCGGGGCAGGAGGUGACCCGGCCUUGGCACGAACGGCCUCCGCCCGUCUUCCUUCUUCCCUUAUACGCCCGUGCGCAGGACAGCAAUGCCCACCGCUGAGCGAUUCGGGGCCAUGAACCCACGCUGAGGGCAGCUCGCGUGAGUUCGUGGUGUGGACGGUGGUGCCGCCUCGCUCGCGGAUCCGAUUCCCGAGGUUCUUCGCCGACGAGAUGCCGCCGAGGGGCCACUCGAGUUGUGGCUGCAGCACGCCGGGUGCUGCAGCCUGGCCACCGGAGUUAAGGUCGAGGUAGUGCCUCCUAGUGAUAUCUUCAUGACCCGUGGAUGGGGCGAGGUCGCCCUCACCUGUCGCUUUGAAGGGGCUCUCGCCAUCCACUUCGAGUAUGACGGCGCCUCCAUGUUGCUCUUCAAGGUCUUCGACGAGGAGCUGAGCAAGGUCAUGCACUCCUUGCUCGGGAAGGACCAGGGCGGCCCCCCGGACGACCACCUCCCGAUGUACUUCCGAGAUGGCAGGAAGGAGAUAGCCACUGCCAUGCUUGUCUUCAACGAGCGCGGGCUUGUGUCGCUGGAGCCUUCCCAUCCGGCAGGCUCCCUGGUGGACGUGUCCUCUGGCGACCACUCCUCCGAAGCCACCUUGGAGGGGGAGGGGGAGACCUCCCCACCACGGCAAAGCGACCUCCUCCGUGCCUUCUCUGAUGAUGAUGACGCUGGUGCGCACCCGGUCAGGGAGUCAGCACGCUCUGCCGGGGUCACCACGAGAUCUGGGGGGACCCCUCCAAAGAAGCCGAAGCGAGGGGUACCGAAGAGGGACAGGUUAACGCUGCUUCCCCUAAGCAGCGCUCCUGCUUCGCCGCCAUCAUCUAGCGUGGGGCCGGCCAUGCACUCGUCCGCUCCUGAGAGCGCAGCGCUGCCCGCGCCCGGGAAGUUCGCGCUUGUGGGCGUGAAGAGGAACUACGUCGCCAUGGAUCAGUAAGUGCACCUCCUCGCCCUUUCUUUGGAUUUCGAUGUAGUGCUUGUUGGGGAACGUAGCAUGCAAUUUCAGAAAAAUUCCUACGAUCACACAAGAUCUAUCUAGGAGAUGCAUAGCAACGAGAGGGGGAGAGUGUGUCCACGUACCCUCGUAGACCGAAAGCGGAAGCGUUAGUUAACUCGGUUGAUGUAGUCGAACGUCUUCACGAUCCAACCGAUCCAAUUACCGAACGUACGACACCUCCGUGUUCAGCACACGUUCAGCUCGAUGACGUCCCUUGAACUCUUGAUCCAGUAGAGGGUCAAGGGAGAGUUCCGUUAGCACGACGGCGUGGUGACGGUGUUGAUGAUGUGGUCCGCGCAGGGCUUUGCCUAAGCACUACGACGCUAUGACCGGAGGAGUAAAUUAUGGAGGGGGGCACCAAACAUGGCUAAGAGAAUUCUUGGUGUGCCUUUGGGGUGCCUGAUAACCCACAAGUGUAGGGGAUCGCAACAGUUUUCGAGGGUAGAGUAUUCAACCCAAAUUUAUUGAUUCCACACAAGGGGAGCCAAAGAAUAUUCUCAAGUAUUAGCAGUUGAGUUGUCAAUUCAACCACACCUGAAAGACUUAAUAUAUGUAGCAAAGUAUUUAGUAGCAAAGUAAUACGGAAAUAACGGUAACAGUGGCAAAAGUAAGAGUAGCAGUUUUAUAGUAAUCGUAAUAGUGGCAACGGAGAAGUAACUAAACAAAGAUCAAUAUGUGAAAAGCUCGUAGGCAAUGGAUCAGUGAUGGAUAAUUAUGCCGGAUGCGAUUCCUCAUGCAACAGUUAUAACAUAGGGUGACACAGAACUAGCUCCAGUUCCUCAAUGUAAUAUAUGCAUGUAUUCCGAAUAUAGUCACACGUGCUUAUGGAAAAGAACUUGCAUGACAUCUUUUGUCCUACCCUCCCAUGGCAGCGGGGUCCUAUUGGAAACUAAGGGAUAUUAAGGCCUCCUUUUAAUAGAGUGCCGGACCAAAGCAUUAACACUUAGUGAAUACAUGAACUCCUCAAAGUACGGUCAUCAUCAGGAGUGGUCCCAAUUAUUGUCACUUCGGGGUUGCCGGAUCAUAACACAUAGUAGGUGACUAUUGACUUGCAAGAUAGGAUCAAGAACUCACAUAUAUUGAUGAAAACAUAAUAGGUUCAGAUCUGAAAUCAUGGCACUCGGGCCCUAGUGACAAGCAUUAAGCAUAGCAAAGUCAUAGCAACAUCAAUCUUAGAACAUAAUGGAUACUAGGGAUCAAACCCUAACAAAACUAACUCGGUUACAUGGUAAAUCUCAUCCAACCCAUCACCGUCUAGCAAGCCUAUGAUGGGAUUACUCACGCACGGUGGUGAGCAUCAUGAUAUUGGUGAUGGAGGAUGGUUGAUGAUGACAAUCGUGUUGGAUUCCCCUCUCCGGAGCCCCGAACGGACUCCAGAUCUGCCCUCCCGAGGAAGAUUAGGGCUUGGCGGCGGCUCCAUAUCAUAAAACGCGAUGAAUCCUUCUCCCCGAUUUUUUCUCCUGGUGAAUAUAUGGAGUUGGGGUUGAGGUCGGUGGAGUCCUAGGGGGCCCACGAGGCAGGGGGCGCGCCCUGCACCCUCAUGGCAAGGGUGCGGGCCCCCUGAUGCUGAUUCCUUCACCAAUAUUUUUUAUUAAUUCCAAAACGUGUCUCCGUGGAUUUUUUGGUCAUUCCGAGAACUUUUAUUUCUGCACAAAAAUAACACCAUGGCAACUCUGCUAAAAACAGCGUCCGUCUGGGUUAGUUCCAUUCAAAUCAUGCAAGUUAGAGUCACCAUGAACAUGAAUAUCGUGGAGGCUAUGUUGCUUUUGUUUCAACUACAUGUUUGAACAUGUGCCAAGUCAAGCCACUCGAAUCAUUCAAAGGAGAAUACCACCCUAUCAUACCACAUCACAAUCAUUUUAAUAGCAUGUUGGCACGCAAGGUAAACCAUUAUAAACUCCUAGCUAAUUAAGCAUGGCAUGAGCAACUAUAAUCUCUAAUUGUCAUUGCAAACAUGUUUCAUUCAUAAUAGGCUGAAUUAGGAACAAUGAACUAAUCAUAUUUACAAAAACAAGAUAGGUCGAGUUCAUACCAGCUUCUCUCAUCUCAAUCAGUCCGUCAUAUAUCGUCAUUAUUACCUUUUCACUUGCACGACCGAACGGUGUGGAUAAUAAUAAUAGGGCACGUGCAUUGGACUAAGCUGGAAUCCGUGAGCAUUUAAUUCAAAGGAGAAGACAAGGUAAUAUGGGCCCCUGGUUAGAUCAAAAAUAAUGCAUAUGAGAGCCACUCAACAUUUUCAUCGUGGUCUUCUCCUCUCGACCCCCAAAGUAAAGAAAAGAAACAAAACUAUUUACACAGGAAAGCUCCCAACAAGCAAAGAAGAACGAGAAAUCUUUUUGGGUUUUCUUUUAAUUACUACUACUACAGGCAUGGAAAGUAAACUAGCUAAAAGAUACAACUAAUUAUUUUUUUUGGUUUUUCUUAAGGUUUUUCAAACACACAAGAAGAAAGCAAGAAAAGAAAAUAAACUAGCAUGGAUAGUACAAUGAAAAAGUAUGAGCACCGACAACUAGCAUGAGUGUGUGAACAUGAAUGUAAUGUUGAUGAGAAAUACGUACUCCCGCAAGCUUAGGAUUUUGGCCUAAGUUGGUCUAUGGCCACUGGUCGAAGCUACUCUCUCUGAUGUGCUGGGGAGGGUCCUCAGGGUGCCACUGGUUAGCGAUCUCCUCCGGAUCCCACUGAUAAACAGACUGUCGAUAUGGGUCAAGUGGUGGCUCAGGCUCACGCUCUGGGACUUGUGUCAGCCUCCAGUAUGCAUAAAUGGCCUCGGGCAAGAUGAGGUACGUGCCUGAAAGUAUGUUAAACAAAGAGGGUGCAGGCAAGGUAAUAGUUUCAUAGUGAGUUUUAUCAAAUAUCAAAUUAUACUUAAGCAUCUUCUUCUUAUUUUUAACAAUAAGUUCAUGUGCUACCAUACUCUUAUAAUCUAGAAAAAUAGUGGGAAGCAACUUUUCCUCUUUCUCAUGAUGCCUAAUAGGUAUCUCAAAAUGUUUAGCAAGGCGUGAGGUAAAGAUGCCUCUGAAGAUGGGGCCCUUUGUACGGUUCAGACUUAACCAUUUAGCAACAAUAGUGCCUAAACUGAAUGUUGUAUCACGAAACAAAGCAUGGCGCAAAAUAACAAUAUCAGGAGCACUAAAAUUUCCACUGUUCCCGCGACCAAUUAAGCAUCUACUAACAAAUAUCGCAAAGUAAAGUAGAACAAGAAAAUGUAUACUAGUAAUUCUUGCAUCGGAAACUUUCCUUGUUUCCCCUACAGCAAUUCUAUCAAUAAACUCAUCCACAUCACUAUGAUGUGGUUCCUCAAUGCUGCCCACAAAGGGUAUCUUGCAGACCCGACAAAAAUCAUGGAGUGACAUCUCCUUAACCUCAUCAUAUAAGUGAAACUCCACUGAAGGUGGUGAUUUCUUAGCAUGGAAACAAAUUUUGCACAAAAAUAUUAGUGAGUAGGAGAUAUAGUUCGCGCUGGUCAUGGAGGAAGUCGGUGAGGCCUGCAUUCUCAGCCAAGUAAUAAAAGUCAUCGUAAAUUCCGGUGGCCCUCAAGAACGUAUCACAAGGCCAUUCACUCGGCCGGACCUCCGCGGUGCGAGGAAGAUUGUAUUAGGGCUUUUUAUUCUCCUCAUUCUGCUUAUCCUUCGAGCUUCGGCUCGAGGAGCCCCUCAACAAUCUCUUCAUCAUUUUCUUUCUCUUAAAAAUUUCUGAAAUUUUUAGUGACUCAAAAUAAAAGUGAACCAAACUCAACAAGAUUGAUAGCAACUACUCCCACAAGUGCCCAGAGUUUGUAUCAUGCAUUAAAACUACUUUGGACCAUAUAAAUUUGGCAUGCAAGCUCAAGAACAGGGUCACCUUAGCAGCAACAAUUUGCAAUAAAUAAAGCACUAGAACAAAAACUAAUUGGACCAUUAGAGGAGUCACAUACCGAAGAACAAUCCCCCAAAGCAGUUUUGUGAAUGGAGCUUUGAGCAAGGAGAUAAAAAAUGGCAGCAAAACGAGCUAGAACAUGGGUUUGAGCUAUGGGAGGAUUUUUUUUGGAAGAAGACGAAGUGUGUGGGUGCUGGAAUAAGUGGGGGUCCAUGUGGGGCCCACGAGGUAGGGGGCGCCCCAGGGGCGCGCCCUGUGCCCUCGUGGCCAAAUGGUGGGUCCCCCUGGUGUGUUCUAAGUGCCAGAAAUUCUUAAAUAUUCUACAAAAAAUCAUACUUCAUUUUCAGGGCAUUUGGAGAACUUUUAUUUUCGGGGUAUUUUUUAUUGCAUGGAUAACUCAGAAAACAGAUAGAAAAUACCAAUUUUGCUUUAUUUAAUCUAAAUAACAGAAAGUAAAAGGAGGGUACAGAGGGUUGCGCUUUCUAGCUUCAUCCAUAUCAUGCUUAUCAAAAUGAAUCCACUAACAAGGUUGAUCAAAUCUUGUUAACUUCUUCCGAAUAACAUAAAAUCAGAGAAUAUUUGAAUAACACCUGGUUACCUCAACGGGGAUUUGCAUGUCCCCAACAAUAAGAAUAUCAUAUUUCCUUUUGACAGUAGGAAGAGGGAAUUCAAAACCUCCAAUAGUAAUCAUUGAAAUUGUUCCAAUAGAAUUGAUAAGAUGAACUUGAGGUUGUUUCCUCGGAAAGUGUAUUGUAUGCUCAUUACCAUUAACAUGAAAAGUGACAUUGCUUUUGUUGCAAUCAAUAACAGCCCCUGCAGUAUUCAAAAAGGGUCUACCAAGGAUGAUCGACAUACUAUUGUCCUUGGGAAUAUCAAAAGUCCGUUAAGAUAGUAACGUUUACAACCACAACAAGCACAUCCGGUAUAGCUGUUGAUUUAUCGGACAUUUGCAAAGAGAUUUCAGUAGGUGUCAACUUAUUAAAAUCAAGUCUAGGAUAUAAAGAGAGAGGCAUAACACUAACACCAGCUCCAAGAUCACAUAAAGCAGUUUUAACAUAGUUUCUUUAAUGGAGCAUGGUAUAGUUGGUACUCCUGGAUCUCCUAUUUCUUUGGUAUUCCACCUUUAAAAGUAUAAUUAGCAAGCAUGGUGGAAAUUUCAGCUUCCGGUAUCUUUCUUUUAUUUGUAACAAUAGCAUAAGGAUUCAUUUUAAGCAUAUCAAUCAAACGCAUAUGCAAAAAGAUAGGUCUAAUCAUUUCAGGAAAGCGCUCAAAAUCCUCAUCAUCCUUUUUCUUGGAUGGCUUAGGAGGAAAAGGCAUGGGUUUCUGAACCCAUGGUUCUUUUUCUUUACCAUGCUUCCUAGCAAUGAAGUCCCUCUUAUCAUAACCUUGAUUCUUUGAUUGUAGGUUAUCAAGAUCAACAGCAAGUUCAAUUUCUACAUCAUUUUUAUUACUGGGUUGAGCAUCAACAUGAACAUCAUUAUUAACAUUAUCACUAGAUUCAUGUUCAUUACCAGAUUGUGUUUCAGCAUUAGAAAUAGAAAUAUCAUUGGGAUUCUCAGGUGUGUAUAUAGCAGGUUCACUAGAAGCAUGCAAAGUCCUAUCAUUUUUCUUUUUCUCCUUCUUAGAAGGACUAGGUGCUUGAACAUUAGUUCUCUGAGAAUCUUACUCAACUCUCGUAGGAUGGCCCUCAGGAUACAAAGAUUCCUGAGUCACUCUACCACCUCUAGUCAUAACUCUAACAACAUUAUCAUUUUUCUUAUUAUUUAACUCACUGAGCAAAUCAUCUUGUGCCUUAAGUACUUGUUCUACUUGAGUGGUAACCAUAGAUGCAUGUUUACUGAUAAGCUUAAGGUCACCUUUAACUCUAGACAUAUAAUCACUCAAGUGUUCAAUCAUAUAAGCAUUACGUUUCAAUUGUCUUCCAACAUAAGCAUUGAAGUUUUCUUGUUUAACAAUAAAGUUAUAAAACUCAUCCAAGCAUUGACUAGCAGACUUAUAACGAGGAAUAUCACCUUCAUCAAAAUCUAUAGAGAGAAUUUACCUUUACUACCUGUGUCGGGUUAUCAAGACCAUGUAUUUGUUCAAUAGGUGGUAAAUUCUUAACAUCUUCAGCUUUAAUACCUUUUUCUUUCAUAGAUUUCUUUGCUUCUUGCAUAUCUUCAGGACUGAGAAAUAAAAUACCCCUUUUCUUUGGAGUUAGUUCAGGAAGUGUCCAAUCAUUAUCAUUGCUCAAUAUAUUAUUCAAUAGCAAUUCAGCUUGCUCAACAGUUCUUUCUCUGAAAACACAACCAGCACAACUAUCCAGGUGGUCUCUGGAAGCAUCGGUUAGUCCAUUGUAAAAGAUAUCAAGUAUUUCAUUUUUCUUGAGAGGAUGAUCAGGCAAAGCAUUAAGUAACUGGAGAAGCCUCCCCCAAGCUUGUGGGAGACUCUCUUCUUCAAUUUGCACAAAAUUAUAUAUUUCCCUUAAGGCAUCUUGUUUCUUAUGAGCGCUGAAAUAGUUAGUAGAGAAGUAAUAAAUCAUAUCCUGGGGACUACACACACAACCAGGAGCAAGAGAAUUAAACCAUAUUUUAGCUUCACCCUUUAAUGAGAACAGAAAUAACUUAAGGAUAUAAUAAUAACGAAUUUUUUCCUCAUGAGUGAAUAGGGUGGCUAUAUCAUUCAAUUUAGUGAGAUGUGCCACAAUAGUUUCAGAUUCAUAGCCAUAAAAAGGAUCGGAUUCAAAUAAAGUAAUUAACUCAGGAUCGAUAGACAAAUCAUAAUCCUUAUCAGAAAUACAGAUAGGUGAAGUAGAAAAAGCAGGGUCAUAUUUCAUUCUAGCAUUCAAAGACUUUUCUUUCAGCUUAGAUAACAGUUUCUUAAGAUCAUAUCUAUCUUUGCAAGCAAAAAGGUCUCUAGCAGUUUCUUCAUCCAUAACAUAACCCUCAGGCACAUCAGGCAAUUCAUAUCUAGGGGGAGAAUCUUCAUCAUCACUUUCAUCGAUAUUAUCAGUUUCAAUAAUUUAAUUCUCUCUAACCCUAGCAAGUUGUUCAUCAUGAAAUUCACCUAAUGGCACAGUAUUAUCAAGCAUAGAAGUAGUGUCAUCAUAAGCAUCAUGCAUAGCAGAAGUGGCAUCAUCAAUAACAUGUGACAUAUAAGAAUCAAUAGCAGGUGUAGGUGUUGCAAGCUUACUCAAACCAGAAGGUGAAUCAAGUGUAGAGCUAGAUGGUAGUUCCUUACCUCCCAUCGUAGUUGAGGGAAAAAUCUUGGUUCUUUCAUCUUUCAAGUUCCUCAUAGUGAUCAGUAGAUAUAAAUCCCAAGUGACUCAAAGAAUAGAGCUAUGCUCCCUGGCAACAGCGCCAGAAAAUAGUCUUCGUAACCCACAAGUAUAGGCGAUCGCAACAGUUUUCGAGGGUAGAGUAUUCAACCCAAAUUUAUUGAUUCUACACAAGGGGAGCCAAAGAAUAUUCUCAAGUAUUAGCAGUUGAGUUGUCAAUUCAACCACAACUGAAAGACUUAAUAUCUGCAGCAAAGUAUUUAGUAGCAGAGUGAUAUGGAAAUAACGGCAAUGGUGGCAAAAGUAAUAGUAGCAGUUUUGUAGUAAUCAUAACAGUGGCAAUGGAGAAGUAACUAAACAAAGAUCAAUAUGUGAAAAGCUCGUAGGCAAUGGAAUAGUGAUGGAUAAUUAUGUCGGAUGCGAUUCCUCAUGUAAUAGUUAUAACAUAGGGUCAGAACUAGCUCCAGUUCCUCAAUGUAAUGUAGGCAUGUAUUCCGAAUAUAGUCAUACGUGCUUAUGGAAAAGAACUUGCAUGAAAUCUUUUGUCCUACCCUUCCGUGGCAGCGGGGUCCUAUUGGAAACUAAGGGAUAUUAAGGCCUCCUUUUAAUAGGGUACCGGAGCAAAGCAUUAACACUUAGUGAAUACAUGAACUCCUCAAACUACGAUCAUCACCGGGAGUGGUCCCGAUUAUUGUCACUUCGGGGUUGUCGGAUCAUAACACAUAUUAGGUGACUAUUGACUUGAAAGAUAGGAUCAAGAACUCACAUAUAUUCAUGAAAACAUAAUAGGUUCAGAUCUGAAAUCAUGGCACUCGGGCCCUAGUGACAAGCAUUAAACAUAGCAAAGUCAUAGCAACAUCAAUCUUAGAACAUAAUGGAUACUAGGGAUCAAACCCUAACAAAACUAACUUGAUUACAUGGUAAAUAUCAUCGAACCCAUCACCGUCCAACAAGCCUACGAUGGGAUUACUCACGCACGGCGGUGAGCACCAUAAAAUUGGUGAUGGAGGAUGGUUGAUGAUGACGAUGGCGACGGAUUCCCCUCUCCAGUGCCCCGAAUGGACUCCAGAUCAGCCCUCCCGAGGAAGAUUAGGGCUUGGCGGCGGCUCCGUAUUGUAAAACACGAUGAAUCCUUCUCCUCGAUUUUUUUCUCUCCCCGAAAGUGAAUAUAUGGAGUUGGGAUUGAGGUCACUGGAGUCCCAGGGGGCCCACGAGGCAGUGGCGCGCCCCAGGGGGGAGGGGGCGCGCCCUGCACCCUCGUGGCCAGGGUGCGGCCCACCCUGAUGCUGAUUCUUUCGCCAAUAUUUUUUAUUAAUUCCAAAACGUGUCUCCGUGGAUUUUUCAGGUCAUUCCGAGAACUUUUAUUUCUGCACAAAAAUAACACCAUGGCAAUUCUCGUGAAAAUAGCGUUAGUCCGGGUUAGUUCCAUUCAAAUCAUGCAAGUUAGAGUCCAAAACAAGGGCAAAAGUGUUUGGAAAAGUAGAUACGUUGGAGACGUAUCAGUGCCCCCUGCCCACGUAUAUAAAGGAGGAGAGGAAGGAGGCUGGCAGCCUAGAGGGGCGUGCCAAGGGGGAAUCAAACUAGGAUUCCCUAUCCUAGUUGGUCUCCCUUUCCUGGCUAUUCCAAGAAGGGGAAAGAGGGAAGGAGAGGGAGAGGGAGAGGGAAAGAGGGGGCCGCGCCCCCUCCCCCUUGUCCAAUUCGGCCCCCCUUGGGGGGGUGGCGCGCCACCCUGCGGGCUGCCCUCUCCUACUCCCUUAUGGCCCAUUAAGGCCCAUAACUUCCACGGGGGGGGGGGGGUCCGGUAACCCCUCGGUUCCCCGAUAAAUAUCCAAAAUGUCUCGAAACCAUUUCGGUAUCCGAAUACCUUCAUCCAAUAUAUCAAUCUUUACCUCUCGACCAUUUCGAGACUCCUCGUCAUGUCCGCGAUCUCAUCCAGGACUCCGAACAAAAUUUGGUCAUCCAAAACACAUAACUCAUAAUACAAAUUGUCAUCGAACGUUAAGCAUGCGGACCCUACGGGUUCGAGAACUAUGUAGACAUGACCGAGACACAUCUCCGGUCAAUAACCAAUAGCGAAACCUGGAUGCUCAUAUAUGCUCCUACAUAUUCUACGAAGGUCUUUAUCAGUCAAAGCGCACAAGAACAUAUGUUGUUCCCUUUAUCAUCGGUAUGUUACUUGCCCGAGAUUCGAUCGUCGAUAUCAUCAUACCUAUUUCAAUCUCGUUACCGGCAAGUCUCUUUACUCAUUCCGUAAUGCUUCAUCCCAUAACUAACUCAUUAGUCACAUUUCUUGCAAGGCUUAUAGUGAUGAGCAUUACCGAGAGGGCCCAGAGAUACCUCUCCGAUACACGGAGUGACAAAUCCUAAUCUCGAUCUAUGCCAACCCAACAAACACCUUCAGAGACACCUGUAGAGCAUCUUUAUAAUCACCUAGUUAUGUAGUGACAUUUGAUAGCACACAAGGUGUUCCUACGGUAUUCAGGAGUUGCAUAAUCUCAUAGUCAGAGGAACAUGUAUAAGUCAUGAAGAAAGCAAUAGCAAUAAAACUUAACAAUCAUAAUGCUAAGCUAACGGUGGGGUCUUGUCCAUCACAUCAUUCUCUAAUGAUGUGAUCCCAUUCAAAUGACAACACAUGUCUAUGGUCAGGAAACAUAACCAUCUUUGAUUAACGAGCUAGUCAAGUAGAGGCAUACUAGGGACACUUUGUUUUGUCUAUGUAUUCACACAUGUACUAAGUUUCCGGUUAAUACAAUUCUAGCAUGAAUAAUAAACAUUUAUCAUGAUAUAAGGAAAUAUGAAUAACAACUUUAUUAUUGCCUCUAGGCCAUAUUUCCUUCAGUGCUCAAUAUCUUCAUUUGAUGUCAGGCCGUCGCCGGCGGUGAACAGGAAGAAGGGGGACGCUUGAGCCGCCGAGGCCAAGCGUGCCAUUACGGUUGCCGCGGCUCCGGCUCAGAGGGACGUAGCAGCUCCUGACGCUCCUGCAGCGACGCUGCCCUCCCGAAGCUUCGGAACCCAGCCUCAGGAGGAGAUGACUCCCGCGGUCGAGCUGACCCUGGAGGCGCUUGUCCCUGACUCACUUGCCAGGGGACCAAAAUCUCCGGAGCCCCCGGUCCUAUCUAUUGUUGCUGCUCCACUAGUCUUGGUGCCGACAAUGCCUCCUCUUCCAUCCACCACGCCGUCAGGCCGUGGUGCUUCUGCCGCGUCUAGAGCUCUGGAGGAGGCCCGCUCCAUGGUGGACCAGCUCUGGGAUGGUCUUCAGGGUCCAGACCGGCGCCGGGCGUUAGGGCUGCUAGAGCUGGUCUCGGGGUGCUCCAAGCCGAUGCGUUUGUCAGGACGACCUGGGGCCAAGACGUGGCAUCCGCGGAGGAGGUCUAGAGGGUGGAUGGCUUAGCCGCAGCCGCCCGUGACGUGGCACUGAAGGAAGCCAAGGACGCGCAGGAGUGCUACCGCGUGGUGGAGGCCGAACUGAAGACCCUUCAAGAUUAGUAGGACACCCAGACCCAUCAGCUCAAAGUGCAGGAGGAGGAGCUAAAGGCCCAGGAGGCUGCAGUUGCCGAUCGCGAUGCCGAGCUGGCGCAGGCAGCCCAAGAACAAGCCACAGAGCGCGGCCGCCUGGACAAGUUGAAGGCGGAGGUGGAGGCGGCCCAGGCGGCCCACACCAAGCUUGUUUCUGACGAGAAGUCUCGGCUGGACGCCAGGGAGAAGCUCCUCGCAAAGACCGAGGAGGCAGGCACCAUGAAGCGUGACGCUUUCAUCGCUCUUGAGGCGAGGUCCCGCAAGGUGCUGCAGGAUCUCUUCGGGGGCGAGCGCCAGGAGCCAGCGGUGACUCCGGAGCAGGGCCCCGACGUACUGCUCCCCGAGCUUAUCACUGCGCUCGAGAGCAUCGUCGUCGGGUUCGGCCCCAUGGUGGAAGGGGAGGCAUGCACGCUUUCUUCCUCGGCCAUGACACGCGUCUUCAGCCAUCUCUAUCUUUGGGACACCAACUUCGACUUCGGCGCCUUGCUCGAGCCCGUGGACUCUGAGUCCUGCGCCGCCGCUGCUGAAGCCGUGAAAGGUCAGGUGGAGGCCGUGCUAAAGAAGUUCCUCAUUGUCGGCCCCAUGGCUGGGGCUGAAAGCAAGGAUGACGGCAACAUCAUUAAUGACGGGGCUCCCAAGGCGGGCGACGGCGACGUCCAAGGCCGAAUAAGAGGCUUGAUGGCAGCACUUCUCCCUGUUUCUGUACUGCAACAUGUAUCAUGCCUUGCGGAGGCGUAAGAACUUAUGCUUGGUACUUUUUAAGAGACAAUGUGUUUUUGUAAUGAUUUGCUAAGGUUUCGCGAUCCCUUUUCCAUUCGCUUUAGCAUCUGCAUCAGCAGGGCCCGACCCCGCGCAUACCUCAGUCGUCGUUGGGUCGUCCGGAUUGCCAGGGCGAGGCCAAGGGGUGAGGGGCUACGUGGUUAGUUAGGCUCCUGAGACGCGAUGCUCAGGAGUCCCCCUUUACGUAUGAACAGCUUUUGGAGAGGAGAUGCGAGAGUAGGUCUUAGCGUUCUGCGUCGGCAGGGCCCGAUCCCGCGCAUACCUCAGCCGCCGUUGAGUUGUCCGGAGCACCAAGACGAGGACAAGGGGUGAGGGGCUACGUGGCCAGUUAGGCUCCUGAGACGCGAUGCUCAGGAGGCCCCCUUGACGUACGAACCGACCAUCGUACCUUUCCUUGUCGGGCUCUAGCUCGGGAGGGGUGUGCGAAGACCAGGUCUGUGGGACCUAGCAGGGUGGCGUACACCAGGCGUGACAUGAGCGUAGCCCCCAUGCCCAACCCCCUCGCGCUACUCUCCCGAGCGAAAGCAGCGCGGUGAGGCUAGGCAUUGAGCACGGAGGCUCCCUGAGGUUGCUGCAGGGCGGUGAGGCCGCCCUUAGUUGUUUAUCACACUGGUACUUCCGCUCUUGCACGGGCAUAGCCGCUCCUCGGCAGUGUCGACUGCUAGCGCGGAGCAUGGUGCUUCCACUGGUAUGUGGGGGGGGCUCCCUCUAAGGGGAGCCCCCAGGGCGUGUGCAGCCCCGCCCUGACACAUGGCUUGCAUGGCAGGGCUGGAGGAGGUGUGUCUGGGCACUCGUGAGCCAGAGCGGGACUCAUGAGGCCCUACCUCAAGGUGGGUUGCGCCUGAACUUGAUUGGGAACACUGGUGAUAGUCCUGCAAGAUGGUCAGGCAACCUGCACCGAGUGAAUCUCCUGAGGUUAUCGCAUGAGAAGGCCAGACACCAAUGCCCCAGGAGGUGACGUGAACAGGACUGGCCCGCCAGAUAGAGCUCAACCGUUGGGUUUAUCGACGCUGCAGGGACGGACCCGAGCACAGACGCCGUGCCCAGUCUUCUCAUGCGACGGUCCUGAAGAAAGACAGUCAGUGCGCGGCUCCCAUGGUGAUGAGGCACCGGGUCGCGCGCCCUCACUUGUUCGUCUGCAAUUAGAUCAUGCAAGAAUAAGGCACCAAGGGCCACGGGAGGUGACGUGCACGGGAGCUACCCCGCGAGCCAGAGCUCACCCUCUUGGGUUUAGCGAUGCUGCAGGGACGAACCCGAGCAUAGACGUCGUGCCAGUCCUUAAUCAUGAGGCGGUCGCGGGUGGGCUUGCAAGGGCGCGGGACAUUCAUGGUGACGAAGCGCCGGUCAGGCAAUGAUAACCAUAAGGCAACUCGUGGAAGACGGUUAGCCAGCUCUGAUAAAUGCAAGAAGGAUACAUGCCACAGGGACGGACCCGCAUGGCUUGGGGAUAUUGUAGCCCGAGGGGUGCCCCAAACUGAAUGAACUAAAAGAUGUCACCUGGCACCGUUGCUGAAGAGGUGUCGGAGUAGCAGAAGGUGUGCACUGCAGAAGUCGCUCCUCAUGAGUCGCCCUAGCCCUAAACCUCGGGAGGCUUGGGAGGCCCGGGGGGCUCAUGAGGAUCCGUUGCCAUCUCCGCCUGGAUCGCCUGACGCUUGGCCUCUUGAUUCGCUAGGACGCCCCGCAUGUGGAGCUGGCAUGCAGCAGCUGUGUUCAGCAAACCGAAGGGCAUGCAGAUGUAGCUAUGAGGGGGCCUCGCAUCGGCCAACACGGGACAGCCAGAAGAGCUCCUGAGACGCGGCCCUGUUGAGCCCUAGGAUGUCAACGCAGACGCACAGCUUCUCGUCCUCGCCUAGGCGAGAAGCCGCGCCUGGCGGUGGGCGGCGAUCGCCCCUCAUGACCCUUGCCUCCUGAAUCUCUUUGGCUGCCUUGUCGAAGAACUCCUGAGCGCCAGGCGCCUUGCGCCCAGCGCUCUCUCCAUGAAAGCGUGCACUGAAGCAUGCCUCCACAUGGUGCCCGAGUGCCUCCCUCAUGACGUUAGCCAGGUCAGAGGCCCUCCAGAGGAGAGGCCCCGAGCCCAGCCUGAGAGGGGCACCGGGCGCACCUUCCUAUGCGAGAGGGGAAGGCACCCCGUCCACAAACGCCAGGCUGGAGGCUACCCCGCCGGAUGCCCCAUCCUCCUGAGGUCCCUGGCGGAGCAGCUGCUUCUUCUUCUUGGGAACGACCUCAGGAGGGAGGAAGGCACCCUCGUCGUCAGGGUUCUCGACCGCUGCAUCCUGGUAGGCGCGCUCGAGGGAGCACACUGCGUCCUUUUCUUCGCAAGCGACUAUGGUGAUGCUGCAGUUCCCUGGCAUCUUGAGGAUAUUGUAGUCGUUGUGCGUUGCCACCAUGAACUUAGCAAGAGCUGGGUACCCGACGAUGGCAUUGUAUGGUAGGCGAAUGUAGGCGAUGUCGAAGUCGAUGAGCUCGGUGCGGUAAUUGUCGCGCUUGCCAAAGGUGAUGGGGAGGCGGACCUGCCCGAUCGGAUGCAUGGAGCCGUCGGUCACUCCUGAGAAGGGCUUGGGAGGCUGAAGCUGGUGAUACGACACUUGAAUCCUAUUGAACAUUUGGACAGAGAGAACAUUGAGCCCUGCACCGCCAUCAAUGAGCGUCUUGGUGACGAGCACAUUGCUGAUGAUGGGCGAGCAAAGCAUUGGGAGCGCGCCAGCUGUGGUCGUGCACUUGAGUUUGAGGAGUCGAAGGUGAUGACGUACUUGGAGCACCUGAGCGGGCGCGUCUCGAGCUUUGGAAGGGCUGCAUUCACCUCACGCGCGAACUGCUUGAAGAUGCGAUGAGAGGCUGGGGCCUGGGAGCCGCCCAGGAUGCAGGCGAUGGCACGAGGCUCUUGGAAGCCCCCAACCCCCUCGUCCUGAUGGUGGUCUUCGUUCCUUCUUGGCGGCGGCGGCGGCGGCGGAGGAAGACCAACGUUGCCCUGAGGCGGAUCCUCACGAAGCUGAUCCCUCCACGCACCCUCGCGAGGCUGGCUCUGCCGGCGGUCCUCCCGAGGCUGGUCGCGCCACUCCUGACGAUGGUCACGAUCGUCCCAGCGUCCUCCACCUUGGCCUCCUCCACGACCGUAGCCUCGAUCGUUGCGCUUGGGGCGACGACCGAGGCGCCCGUCGGGGAUUGCCCUGAGCUCCUGGCAGUCGUUGGUGUUGUGGUUGUGCACGUUGUGGAAGACGCAGAAUGGGCAGCUGCCCUUGGAUAACUCUGGGUGAUCACAGAUGCGCUGUAACGCCCCGGAUACAACUUUCCAUAUUCGUAACUCCAACUCUUGCCUUUUCCGGAGAUGCGAUAUGUUAUUUCCUUCGUGGUUGGGGUUUUGUCUUUUGUUUUGCAUUGUGUUCAUGUCAUGCAUGUCAUCUCAUCGCAUCAUUCGCAUUGCAUUCGCAUGUUUUCAUUAAACUUGCAUCCAUUUCUAGUUCCGGCUUCUCCUCGAUGCCUUUGUUGUUGCCUCUUUCGAGACCAACCGUUCUUUUGUUGUCCAACCGUUUGAGCCUCUCUGCACAUCCACCAACCACCUCCGCAACCUAGUCUGAAAACUUCUCCCGGACCCGACCCGGGUUGUCAUGACCAAUGGGUCCGGAUCAUCUCCUAACAUCUAUAAAACAUCUCCGUUUUUUUAAUUGGACUUCCUACACAUAUUUUUUCUCAACCGUCCGAUUACGAUCGUAGGGAUGCUCUAACCUAAAUUCAUCUGAUAUAAAUAUCGGGGCAACCCUAGAUCUAGCCGUCCCAUCCACCCAGUCUCAUCCGCGCUGCCACCGCUCUCUUUCUUCCCCUCGGGAUCCAUCCCCACCAACCGCAGCCUCCGACCAGAUCCCUGGUUUUCCGCGCAGCCGCCCGAGCACAUCUCGAUGGAUCGAGCGCUUCGCCUCGAAGCACAACAUCCCCUGCUCAUGCCCCGAGCCUCUCGUUGUCCAGGAGCACGAGCUCCAUCGCAGCGCUGCCGCCAGCCGGAGCAGCCGGUCAUCCCCGUCGUUGCCGAACCUCGCCGCUCCUCCCCUUUUCUUUGACUUCCUUCCUCUGGUUUUUCUCUGCUCUCAACACCUCGUCUCUCUCUUUCUCUGAUCACAGGAACAAACCGGCCCUGUAGCCGCUGACCUCGUCGGCAACAGCCGACGUCAUGGACGCCAACCGCAAAGCUGUCGCCCUCUUCGUCAGCCUGGAGCCCCGCUCGUCAUCGCCCGCUCGCGCCUGAACCAAGGACCCCGCCGCCCUCCAGCUUCCCCGUAGCCCCGCAGACGCCUCCUGCCCGAGUCGUCCCGUCCUCCACCACCACCCACGCGCUGCCGUCCAGGACCCCGGCAGGUCGCACCUCGCGCCGGUUGGAGCUCCGCAGGUCGGUGCCCCUUCCAAUCGGACCUCCUCCUCCAUUCCCUCCCUUUCCCUCCGGUCUCUAACCUCUCAUUCCCUCUCUCUGUUCUCCUUGUAGCGUUGUCGCCUCCUUCAUGUGCGUCAUGCGCGAAAACCGACAAGGCUCCAGCGCCAUGGCCUUCCCCACUUCUGCCCGAGCGCCUCCAGGACCUCGUCUGCCCCGCCGCGUCGCCGAAUCCGGCCACCAGGACCCUCCAGCGCCGCCACUUCUUUCCUCAUGCUGUCGCGCCCCUUCUUCCUCUGCUUCGAGGACGAGCCAGGCGACCGCGUUGACUUCUCGUCGCCAGCCAGAUCCACCAAGCCCAGCCGGCCUCUUCUGCUUCCAGCCGGGCCUCGGCCCAUGGUGAGCCUCCAGCCUAUCCCUCGCCCCAGCGCACAUGUUAGCUUGCGCCCACCAGAUUCGGCCCAACAUGUUUUUUUUUCAGAUCCGUGAAUUUAGACAUUAUCCAGAGAAUGCCGUUUUACAGAAAAACCCCCGUUCUUCAUGCAUUUAAUAACCCACAAACCGUGCAUCGGAUUAAAAUGUUUUAAACAUGUAAAAUGCUUAGAAUUUUGUGUAGAUUAAUAAUUUGCAACUUUCAUCCAUGUUUAAAAUGUUUAAAAUGAUGUUUGCAUUUAAUUUGCUAAUUGCCAUGUUAAAAUGAUUUAAUUCAUAACUAAAUAACCGUAGCUCGGUUUUAAAUGUUCUUUAUAUGUAAAUGGGGUGGGAAAAUGCCUAGAUUAACAUGGUGCACUUUGUUUUAUUGUUUAACAACUUUAAAAUAUGUUUUAGGGCAGAACAGUAGCUAAUUCAAAAUAUGCAUAUGGGGAUUUUCCGGAAUUGUUGUUUGUUGUUCCGGCCUCAUUUAAACUUGACUAAAUAGUUAGUUUACUUUUGAUUCACCCCUUGCCAUGUUUAACAACAUUUAGUAUUGAUGAGUAGCAUAACCGAGAGAGAACUAAAUAAUUGAUGUGGAGUUUUGUCAAUAUGCAACUCAUUGCAUAUUAAGCUCCACUUAAUUUGUAGUAUUGUUUGUUGCACUUUGCCAUGCCAUGCCUCAUUAAACUGUACAUGCAUCAUACUUGAUUGUGCAUCAUGUCAUGUUUAUGUGAUGGUUGUUUACUAUGUUGCUUGCUUCUUUCCGGUGUUGCUUUUUAGUUUCGGUAACGUUGCGUUCGUGAGGAUUCGUUCGACUACGUUGGUUCGUCUACUUCAUGGACUCGUUCUUCUUCCUAGCAGGAUUUCAGGCAAGAUGACCGCUACCCUGGAUCUCACUACUAUCAUUGCUAUGCUAGUUGCUUCGUUCUAUCGCUUUGCUGCGCUACCUAUCAAUUGCUCUUCAAGCCUCCCAAAUUGCCAUGUCAGCCUCUAACCUUUGACACCCUUCCUAGCAAACUGUUGUUUGGCUAUGUUACCGCUUUGCUCAGCCCCUCUUAUAGUGUUGCUAGUUGCAGGUGAAGUUGAAGAUUGCUCCAUUAUGGACAGGAUUAUGUUGGGAUAUCACAAUAUCUCUUAUUUUAUUAAUGCAUCUAUAUACUUGGUAAAGGGUGGAAGGCUCGGCCUUAUGCCUGGUGUUUUGUUCCACUCUUGCCGCCCUAGUUUCCGUCAUACCGGUGUUAUGUUCCCGGAUUUUGCGUUCCUUACGCGGUCGGGUGAUUUAUGGGACCCCCUCGACAGUUCGCUUUGAAUAAAACUCCUCCAGCAAGGUCCAACCUUGGUUUUACCAUUUUCCUCACCUAGCCCUUUUUCCCUUGGGUUUCCGGAGCCCGAGGGUCGUCUUUAUUUACCCCCCGGGCCAGUUCUCCUCCGAGUGCUGGUCCAAACCGAGCGAUGUACGGCGCCCCCUGGGCAACUAGGGUCUAUGCCAACCCGACGUCUGGCUCAUCCAGUGUGCCCUGAGAACGAGAUAUGUGCAGCUCCUAUCGGGAUUUGUCGGCACAUCGGGCGGCUUUGCUGGUCUUGUUUUACCAUUGUCGAAAUGUCUUGUAAACCGGGAUUCCGAGACUGACCGGGUCUUCCUGGGAGAAGGAAUAUCCUUCGUUGAUCGCGAGAGCUUAUCAUGGGCUCAGUUGGGACACCCCUACAGGGUAUAAACUUUCGAGAGUCGUGCCCGCGGUUAUGUGGCAGAUGGGAAUUUGUUAAUGUCCGGUUGUAGAUAACUUGACACCAGAUCCGAAUUAAAACGCAUCAACCGUGUAUGUAGCCAUGAUGGUCUCUUCUCGGCGGAGUCCGGGAAGUGAACACGGUUUCUGUGUUAUGAUUGACGUAAGUAGGAGUUCAGGAUCACCUCUUGAUCAUUACUAGCUUCACGACCGUUCCUUUGCUUCUCUUCUCGCUCUUAUUGCGUAUGUUAGCCACCAUACUUGCUUAGCCGCUGCUGCAACCUCACCACUUUACCCCUUCCUUUCCCAUUAAGCUUUGCUAGUCUUGAUACCCAUGGUAAUGGGAUUGCUGAGUCCUCGUGGCUCACAGAUUACUACAACAACAGUUGCAGGUGCAGGAUUAUGCGAUGAUCUUGACGCGAGAGGGAUGUUACUUGUUUUGGACUUCUUCUUCUGCUUCUUCUCCGAUCAGGGGAUAGGUUCCAGGUCGGCAGCCUGGGCUAGCAGGGUGGAUGUCGUUCGAGUUUCUGUUUGUGUUUCAUCCGUAGUAGGAUGCUGCUCUUAUGUAUGAUGAUGUUGUAUUCAUGUGGCAUUGUAUGCCUCUUGUAUGUAUCCCCAUCUAUUAUGUAAUGUUGAUGUAAUGAUAUCCACCUUGCAAAAGUGUAACGCCCCAGACACACCCGUCGGUGGUCGUUACUCCUGGCGAGAUCUAGACUGGCCCCACAGAUCAAUACUAGUCUUUUAUGUGCACUUUUGCAAACCGUGCAUCCGAUUCCGGUGAUCUUUAUAUCGAUUUCAACCGAAAUCAUCUCAUCUUUCCAGCGGCAUACUUGGUUUGCCAAGUUGAUGCCUGGUUCAUCAUUUUCCUUCCGGAGCACACAUAUGCAUUGCAUAUCACAUCUCGCAUAGCAUGUCAUGUAUUGCAUCAUAUUGCUUGUGCAUUGCUCCUUGUUUGAUUGUUGUUCCAUUGCUUGUGUUCUUGCUUUGGGUAGAGCCGGGAGACGAGUACGUGAACGAGGAACCUGUUGAGAACGCCUACGAGGAUCAAGCCUUCGACAACUCUGAGAACCUUGCAGGCAAGAUGACCAUACCUUCGAUAUCACUUGUAUCUUUGCUUGCUAGAUGCUCGAUCUUUUGCUAUGCCUAUGCUACGUUACCUACCACUUGAUAUAUCAUGCCACCCAUAUUGCCAUGUCAAACCUCUAACCAUCCUUUCCUAGCAAACCGUUGUUUGGCUAUGUCACCGCUUUUGCUCAGCCCCUCUUAUAGUGUUACUAGUUGCAGGUGAAGAUGAAGUUUGUUCCUUGUUGGAACAUGGAUAUUUUGGGAUAUCACAAUAUCUCUUAUUAAAUUAAUGCAUCUAUAUACUUGGUAAAGGGUGGAAGGCUCGGCCUUAUGCCCGGUGACUUGUUCCACUCUUGCCGCCCUAGUUUCCGUCAUACCGGUGUUAUGUUCCUUGAUUUUGCGUUCCUUACGCGGUUGGGUGAUUUAUGGGACCCCCGUGACCGUUCACUUUGAAUAAAACUCCUCCAGCAAGGCCCAACCUUGGUUUUACCAUUUGCCACCUAUACCUUUUUCCCCUGGAUUUUCGCGAGCCCGAGGGUCAUCUUUAUUUUAGCCCCCCNNNNNNNNNNNNNNNNNNNNNNNNNNNNNNNNNNNNNNNNNNNNNNNNNNNNNNNNNNNNNNNNNNNNNNNNNNNNNNNNNNNNNNNNNNNNNNNNNNNNNNNNNNNNNNNNNNNNNNNNNNNNNNNNNNNNNNNNNNNNNNNNNNNNNNNNNNNNNNNNNNNNNNNNNNNNNNNNNNNNNNNNNNNNNNNNNNNNNNNNNNNNNNNNNNNNNNNNNNNNNNNNNNNNNNNNNNNNNNNNNNNNNNNNNNNNNNNNNNNNNNNNNNNNNNNNNNNNNNNNNNNNNNNNNNNNNNNNNNNNNNNNNNNNNNNNNNNNNNNNNNNNNNNNNNNNNNNNNNNNNNNNNNNNNNNNNNNNNNNGGCCUGGUUUUACUCAUAGCUUGACUUAUCCGGAUGUGCCCUGAGAACGAGAUAUGUGCAGCUCCUAUCGGGAUUUGUCGGCACAUUCGGGCGGCUUUGCUGGUCUUGUUUUACCAUUGUCGAAAUGUCAUGCGAACCGGGAUUCCGAGACUGAUCGGGUCUUCCCGGGAGAAGGUUUAUCCUUCGUUGACCGUGAGAGCUUAUGAUGGGCUAAGUUGGGACACCCCUGCAGGGUAUUAUCUUUCGAAAGCCAUGCCCGCGGUUAUGAGGCAGAUGGGAAUUUGUUAAUGUCCGGUUGUAGAAAACCCGAAGUUGACCUUAAUUAAAAUACAUCAAUCGCGUGUGUAACCGUGAUGGUCUCUUCUCGGCGGAGUCCGGGAAGUGAACACGGUGUUGGAGUUAUGUUUGGCGUAGGUUGCUCUAGGAUCACUUCUUGAUCACUACUAGCUUCACGACCGUGCCUUGCUUCUCUUCUCGCUCUCUUUUGCGAAUGUAGCCACCAUAUAUGCUAGUCGCUUGCUGCAGCUCCACCUCACAAUUCUGUCCUACCUAUAAGCUUAAAUAGUCUUGAUCUCACGGGUGUGAGAUUGCUGAGUCCCCGUGGCUCACAGAUUCUACCAAAACAGAUGCAGGUACCGAUGAUACCAGCGCAAGUGGCGCAAUUGAGCUCAAGUGGGAGUUUGAUGAGGACCGUGAUCGUUACUAUGUUUCAUUUCCAGACGAUCAGUAGUGGAGCCCAGUUGGGGACGAUCGGGGAUCUGUGUGGCAUUUGGGGUAGUCUUCUUUUAUUUUGGUUCCGUAGUCGGACCUUGAGUGUAAUCUGAAUGAUGGAUGUUUAUUUAUGUAUUGUGUGAAGUGGCGACUGUAAGCCAACUAUGUAUCUCUUUCCCUUAUGUAUUACAUGGGUUGUGUGAAGAUUACCUCACUUGCGACAUUGCUUUCAAUGCGGUUAUGCCUCUAAGUCGUGCUUCGACACGUGGGAGAUAUAGCCGCAUCGAGGGCGUUACAAAAAGCGUCUUCAAGAUGCGCUUCUAUCCUUGGUGGGACCUUCGAGUUCCUUUAGGAUAGGGUCGCAUCUUGGGCGUGACAUGCGCUUCAUCUCUGGCUCGGCUGCGAGCACGGCCGGUCCCUUGCGCUUCACGUCCUUGGCCUUGGUCUUCUUGUCUUCUGGGUCUACAUCGGGGAUCUCGAGGAGGGAGAGGCGUCCCUCCUCAGCUCUCGCGCACUUGGUUGCCAUGUUGAACAUCUCCAGGGCCGUGCAUUGGUCUUCGUGUAUGGCGAGCUCCUCCUUCAUCUUGAUGUCACGGACGCCGUCGGUGAAUGCCGAGACGAUGGCUUCGUCCGACACCUUGGGAAUCUUUGAGAUGAACGAUGUUGAAGCGCUAGAUGUACUUCUGCAGGGUCUCUUCUGGUUGCUGCUUGACACAUCGCAGGUCACCCGUGGCCGGCGGGCGGUCGUGAGUGCCCUGGAAGUUGGUGAUGAAACGUUCUCGCAUCUCGUCCCAGGAGGAGACCGAUCCUACGGGCAGGUUCAGGAGCCAAGAGCGCGCGCCGUCCUUGAGGGCCAUGGAGAAACAGUUCGCCAUGACCUUCUCGUCGCCGCUGGCCGCCUCAAUGCUCAGCUCAUAGAGCUGCAGGAACUCAGCGAGGUCGGCGGCGCCGUCGUAGCGUGGAGGCAGGUCAGGCUUGAACUUCCCUGGACAGACGACGCUGCGCAACUCCGGAGUGAAUGCGCGGCACCCCGUUGUGGUCACGAGAGCCCGCCGUGGAGGUGGAGCCUGGUCUUGGCGUUCGCGCACCUUCACCACAGGCGGCGCACGGUCUAGAUGUGGCGCCGGUAGCGCGCGCGCAUAUUCUUGUGGCCGUUGGACCACCUGGUAGCUUGCUUCAUUGCGCGCGGGCGCCUGACACUGCGGAUCACGCCGAGGCGCCACCCGCCUUGGCUCGAUGAUGGCGUCUUGCCUUGGAGGCGGGGGAGGCGCCCCGUGAGCUACAUCUCCCGUAGCAGGCGACGGUUGAGGCAGUGAGCCAGCUGGUGCGGCAGAAUCCUGAGCGGCGGUGACAAGCUCGGCGAUACGGUCGAGCCAGUCCUUGUAGAGGUCGUCGACCUGGCAGUAGCACAGGAGCUCGCGUGCCAUGAGUAGAGCAGCCUGCGCGUUCGCCGGGCCACGACGAGCGUGAGAGGACGAAGCAGCUGGAGUCAGCGUCAGAGUGGCGGUGCACCCAUCGCGGCGCAUAGAUGGAUGCAGUGAAGAGGCUUGUUGCUCGUGGCCUGCGGGGCCCGUGGUGGCGUUCGCCACCGGCGAUGGGGGUCGGCGAGGGCAGCCGUCGCCCGCCAGCACUGUCUGAGCGACGCGGGUGGCAAGGGCGGCCCGGCGCUCAGCACGAGCUCGGCGCGCGUCAUCCAUGGAAGCGGUGGAGCGGUGGCGAGUCGAUCGACGGAAGAGAAGCUCCGACGCACCCCUACCUGGCGCACCAAAUGUCAGAUUUCGGGUUCCGCAAACCCUACUCUUGCUUUGUGGUGGAUUUGCCUCGAGGGGUUGAGGGUGAACUAGUAUAGUGGAGAACAACCUCAGGAGGUGUGUUCUUGGGCUCUAGUGAGCUGGUGAGGGUGGAGCGGAUGUCGUCCCAUCUCCCUCCUUUGGUGGUGGCUAGGUCCUAUUUAUAGUGGUCUUGGUCCUCUUCCCGAAUGGAGGCGGGAAGGGAUCCCACAAUGGCCAAUUUUAAAGGGAGACAACAAGUACAUCUUAUCCUGACUAAAGUGCUCUUCGCCUGCAAAAGCCUGUGGUCGUGACGCUGCGGUGGGCUCGACGAUGACCUCCGUCCUGCCUGGCGGUCUUGAUCUUGUUGCAUGGGAAUGGAAACCUUUGACUGCUUCCUCGGGACUCCGCACCUGCUGCUUGCCUCCUUUGCACGAAAGAGGACACUAGUACACUGCGCCCGCUGGCGCCCGCCUUGACGCNNNNNNNNNNNNNNNNNNNNNNNNNNNNNNNNNNNNNNNNNNNNNNNNNNNNNNNNNNNNNNNNNNNNNNNNNNNNNNNNNNNNNNNNNNNNNNNNNNNNNNNNNNNNNNNNNNNNNNNNNNNNNNNNNNNNNNNNNNNNNNNNNNNNNNNNNNNNNNNNNNNNNNNNNNNNNNNNNNNNNNNNNNNNNNNNNNNCGAUCGUCAUUGCUCACGUCACCCGAACCUCGCAAGGUGAGUCUUGCAUAGAAAUCUCCGCUCCUCAGGAGCCAGCAUGAGGAGGCUGAUCCCCUUGAAGGUCUUGGUGCCGUCCGCUUCGCGAGGCUUGGCCCCUCGUGAGGGUCUUGGGUUGUCGAUGUCGAAACUGGGCCGCACCAGGUCGUCGGUGGAGCCACGCCAUGGGCCGUAGGCAGGCAAGUCUGGGUACCCCCGUAUCCAAAACACCGACACUGACCCGACGUUAUUUUCUGUUACCCAGAGGUUGUUGUCCCAUUGGGAGCAGGGGUGAGACCUCCGUGAGAAAGAAAGAAGAAGAACAAUAAGAGAAACAGAUCUCGAUCCUCGAUCUGCAAGCUCACGGGCUACACUGGUGGCCACUACGCCAACUUCAGCUUUGUGUAUAAUACAAGGGCGCGACCUCGUUGAGGGUAAAAGACCCAGUUUUGCAUUGAUUUUUCCGUGUUUUUGUUUCUGUUUUGUCUUUCUUUUUUCAUUUGUUUCUCUCUGUUUCUUUCUUUGUAUUUGCCAUCUUUUUACUUUCUUUCUUGUUCUUAUGUUUUAGUCAGAUUACUCCUUUUUUCUUCCUUUUUCGUCUUCUUCUCUUUUUUGUUUUCUUUUCUUUUUUGUUCACCUGUUUUUUCGUUUUCAUUUGGUUUUUCUUUGUUUCUUUCAUUGUUUUUAUCAUUUUUGGGUUUUCUUGGUUUGCAUUCUACAUUUUUCGUAUAUGUCAUGAAGAUUUUUCUAAUGCACGUUAAUACUUUUUAAUAUGACGUUAUUAUUAUCUAGGACAUGGUUAAUAAUUUUUCUAGUCAUAUUUAAAUACUUUAUAAAUGCUGGAUUUACAUUUUCUAAUAAUAGUUAAUAUUUUUAAUACACAUUUUAAAACAUUUUCAAAUGCUUGAUUAAAAAAUUCAAAAACAAGAUUAACAUUUUUAAUAAAAGGUCAAUAUUUUACCUAUACCCUCUUCACAAGAAUGCAAAUGCUUCAGUAACACUUGUCAAAUACAAGAUUAACAUUUUUUAAUACACGCUCAACAUUUUUUCUAUACACACUUUUAAAAAAAAUUCAAUGCUUGUUAACAUCUUUCGAAUACAAGAUUAACAUUUUUUAAUACAUAGUCAAAAAAAUUCCUACAAACUCUUUUAAACAUUUUCGACUGCAAGAUUAACAUUUUUCUGAAUGCAUGGUAAAAAAAAUUGUAUCCACAUUUAAAAUUUUCAAAUGCUUGAUUAAACAUUUUUAUAUACUUCUCCAACAUUUUUAAAAUUUCUUGAUUAAUAUUUUCAUAUAAAAUGAUCAAAAGGUUACAUCAUUUUUUAAUACAUGGUCAACAUUUUUUCUAUAUAAAUUCAACAUUUUUAAGCACUUGAUUAACAUUUUCCAAAUACUUGUUUAAAAUAUUCUAAAUACAUGAUCAACUUUUUUCACACCCAUUGUACAUUUUUUAAUACAUUGUUCGUAUAUGUGAUUAACAUUUUUUCAUACACAUUUAACAUUUUUGAAAUGCACUAUUGACAUUUUUUAGAACAUUUCUGAAAAAUAUAUUUUGUAGUAUAUAUAUUUAGAAUUUUUGGAGUGUAAACAAAAGUAAGAAAAUAAAUCAGAAAAAGAAAGCAAAAGGUCAACAAAAAAAAGACGAAAGCCAAUUAUUUGUUCAUGCCCUGGAAUUGGUCAUGCCAAUUAUUUGUUAGGGCAAGAUUGAGCUCAAUCCGAACGGGAGCGCCUAUACAGCGCGAUACUCGCCNNNNNNNNNNNNNNNNNNNNNNNNNNNNNNNNNNNNNNNNNNNNNNNNNNNNNNNNNNNNNNNNNNNNNNNNNNNNNNNNNNNNNNNNNNNNNNNNNNNNNNNNNNNNNNNNNNNNNNNNNNNNNNNNNNNNNNNNNNNNNNNNNNNNNNNNNNNNNNNNNNNNNNNNNNNNNNNNNNNNNNNNNNNNNNNNNNNNNNNNNNNNNNNNNNNNNNNNNNNNNNNNNNNNNNNNNNNNNNNNNNNNNNNNNNNNNNNNNNNNNNNNNNNNNNNNNNNNNNNNNUUUCAGCUUAAUUUCAGUUUCAAAAAAAUAGGAUUUCAGAAAAAGUUAGAAGUUGUCCAAUUAUUUGUGAAUUCAAAAGGUUGUUCCCUAUUUGAAAUUUCUUCAGGAAAUGAUAAAUUCUCAAGAAUUCAAAAAAUGUUCACAAUUUCGAAAAUAAUGUUCAUGUGCAAAAAAUAUUUAUAAAUUUCUAGAAAAUGUUCACCAUAUUCAAAAAAUGAGCAGGAAUUUUGAAAAAUGUUCCCCAAAUUCACAAAAUGUUCGCAAUUUCAAGAACUAUGAAGGAACUAAAAAAUGUUCGUCAAAAACAAAAAAAGCUCGGAAUUUCAAAAAAUGUUCAGAAAUUUCAGAAAAUAUUCGCCAUUUACAGAAAAAUUUACACAAUUUCAAGGAUUGUUCGUGAUUUUGAAAAAAAAAACCAUGAUUAUAUAAAACAUUUGACAGGUUUAAAAACUGUUCAUGAUUUCAUAAAAUUGUUUACUUUUUCAAAACAAUAUUCACGAAUUUGUAAAAAAAUAUUCAGCAAUUUGAAGAAUGUUCAUAAUUUCGAAAAAAAAUCGCAAUUUUAAGGAAGUUUGUUCGUAAAAUUGAUACAUGGCCGAACUUUUUUCAGAAAAGGUGAAAAUAAGGAAAAAGUAAAAAAAACAGAACAUUAAAGAAAAGAAAAAAUAAAAGAGUUAAUUGGAAAAGUUAAACAGAAAAAGGAAAUAAAAAACGGAAGAAAUAAACAAGAAAAAACCGGUUCUGGGAAGGUUCUAGAACCUUCCCAAAACCGGUGGGGAGGAAUCCCUAUAUGGGCCGGUCCAACGGACGCUGGGGGAGGGGAAGAGACCUCCUAUAAUCCGCACUCUGUGGGAAAGUGUCGUGGCUUCGCACAGGCGGCCUCCGGCUGGGCUGGCCCAGUACCGCCAGCGGACUUGUAUUGUAGCUCAAAAAAAACGACUUUGCAUGAAAUCGAACCAGGGAUCUCGUGCUGCAAAAUAGAAUUUGCGACCAGCUGAGCUAGCGAUCUUUUCUAGUAAGAUAGCAGCGUCAAUCUUUAAGAACCAACACACAGGGCAGUUCCGAAUUAUUUUUGUAAUUUCGAAUUCAUUUUUUUAACAAAAAAUGAGUAUUUUCUGACACGCGAAUACCUUUCAAAUUUCAGAAUGGUUUUUUAUAAACAGAAAUGUUUAAGAAAAUAAUUGACAUUUUUCGUAAUCAGGAACAAUUUUUUAAACGAGAAUUUUUUUUCAAAUUUCAAAAUAAAACUGGGGAAAUACAAACAUUUUAAACUCCUGACAAAAUAUGCAAAACAUGAACUUUUUUAUUGAAAUUUCUGAACAAUUUUUGACAAGGGAGUUUUUUUUUGAAACUUCAGAAAACGAAAACAUGAACAUUUUUUGAAACCGGAACAUUUUUUGAAAACUUGUGAAAUUUUGGAGCAGAAAUUAUUCCGAACUUUUUUUGUGAGAACACAAACAAUUUUUUGAAUAAGUGAAAUUUUUUUGAAAAAUGUAUGCGAACAUUGUUUUUGGAAAAAAUGAUCGUCUUGGAAUUUUUAUCAUUUUUAGAAGCAAGAACAUUUUUUGAAAGUCACGAACAUUUUUUUAACUCCCGAACAUUUUUUGAAAAUUUUGAACAAAAGCAUUCGCAACAUUUUAACCAAAACAAGAACAUUUUUUGAAAAUAAUGAACUUUUUCGAAUUUAUGAACAAUUUUUUAAAACGACUAUUUUUUAAAUUUUGAACAUUUUUAAAGGCAUGAACAUUUUCAAAAUUUAAGAGCAAUUUUGGAACAUGAACUUAGUUUAAAAAAGAUAAAAUAACCUUGAAAAGGAAAAAAUAAAAAUAAUAGAAAAAAAAGAAUAAAAGAAUAGAAAAAGAGGAAAAAGAAACAAAAACUAAAAAAAGAAAACAGAAAAACCAGCAAAAAAACAAAAAACCCGGUGUGGGGAACCUUCUAGAAGGUUCCCAAAACCGGCUGGCUGUUGCAAUUGUACACUCAACUGGGCCGACCCAUCACAUCGCUGCUCAGUCGCUCGCGUAUGCGAAGCGCCGGCAGUUUGACGCAAAGAGCUUCAAAUAGGAUUUCCCGAAGGGGAACGCGCCAAGGGAACUCCUAUUGGACACUCGCUGCGGCAAGCAGUCGGCAUUUCACACACGAGCAGCUUGGCUGGGCCGGCCCAUAUUGCGGGUGCGGCACAUUCGUAGGUUAAAAAUCGCGAAAAAGGAAAAAGGGUACUGGAAUCGAACCCAAGACUUCCUAUUGCUAAGCGCGAUGAGCUAGCCGCCCCAACUAGCUACUUCUUAUGGUAAAUUGGCAGCGCGAACCUAAAGAAAUUAACGGUAGCGAGAAAACAUAAAAUCUGAAUACGCAAAAUUACGAUGAACCAAGGUGUGAGCGAGGCACCUCUCAAUACAACUAGGUAGUCAAAAAAGGUAGCCCAACAAAUAUGAACUAUAAACCGCGACAAAGGCUAUAAUUAAAAAAAUUCAAACGUGAAUUCUUUUGGCAAAAAGUAAAUAUUUUCUGAAACGCACCCAUUUUAUAAUUUGUGAACAAAAUUUUAAAAAUUAGAACAUUGUAUGAAACCGAAAACAUGUUUUUGGAAUAAAAAAGGAAGAAAACUGAAAUUGCGAACAUUUUGUUUAAAUGCGACCACUUCAAAAUUUGUGAACAAUAAUUUUAAAAUUCGAACAUUUUCGUAAUUUCAUACGAGAACAUUUUUCAAAUUUGCGAACACUUUUUUGAAAAACAGAAUAGAAUUGAAAACCCAAACAUUUCGAAUUUCCCAAAACAUCUUUCGAAGACAUGAACAUUUUUGGAAUUUGUGAACAAAUUAUUUAAAGCACGAACGAUUUUGAAUCUUGAGAACAAAUUUGGAAGCGCCAACUAUUUUUUCAACCACGGACAUUUUUUGAAUCUUGAGAACAAAUUUUGAAAUGGAAAACAAUUUUGAAAUAUUCCGAACAAAUUUGGAAGCGCGAACAAUUUUUUAAAGCACGAACAUUUUUUCAAUCUUGAGAACAAAUUUUGAAACGAAGAACAAUUUUGAAAAAUCCCAAACAAAUUUGGAAGCGCGAACAUUUUCUUUAAAAAGUGAACAAAAUAUUGAAAUCUGCUACAUUUUUUGAAUUUCGAAAGUUUUGAACUUUUCUGUGUAACGAGAACAUUUUUUGAAUUUUGAGAACAUUUUUUCAAAAGCUGAACAUUUUCUGAAAACAUGAACAAAAUUUCAAAUUUUCGAUCUUUUUGAAGAAAAAAGAGAAGAAAAGAAAAAGAAAUAACAAAGAAAAUCCUUUUUUUGUAAAACUGCAAACAUGUUCUGAAAAAGAAAAAGAAACUUGAAAAAUAAAAGGUAACAAAAAAGAAAAAAUGAAAAAGAAACAGAAAACGAAAAAACAAUCAGGAAAGUGUAAAAAAAUGGAAAACCAAUAAAAGAAAAAAAACGGUUCAUGGAACCUUCUAGAAGGUUCAUAAAACCGGAGUGGGCAGUUUGUUUGCUAUGUACGUAAGUGGGCCGGUCCAAAAGCAUCGCUCGGUCGCUCGCUGUGUGCGAACCGCCGGCAGUUUGCCGCAAUGAGCGGCCAAUAGGAUUUUCUACGCGCCAACUCGCUAGCGAGCGACCUAUGCGCCAUAAAGGGAUCGCCAAUCCAAACAGCCCAGUUGCCGCGCCAUGGGCGCCAUCAAGCUCAGCUGGCACGCACUAUGGGCCGGCCCAGUUAACCUCAGCUCGCUCGUUUAAUUCCAAACUUCUAGGUCGGUGGCUCACCUGGUUCGACCGGUUGACCAAUAACUUAUUGACGGUUGAAGAGUCAAACCGUUAACCAUUCACUUUUUAAAAAGUUCAAAUUUUUAAGAAACAGAAAUAAAUAUGUUAGCAAAAUUAACAAAAAUCAUAAAUUUCAAAAAGAACGUGCCUUUGAAAAUUCAUGAUUUGUCUUUUUAAAAUCCAUGAAAUAUGGGGAAAAUGUUCACAAUUUUGAAAUAAAAUCAUUAAUUCGAAAAAUUUCAUGAAAUUUGGGGAAAAAAGUUCGUGAAUUUGACUACAAGUGACACGGAUUUGGGAAAAAAAAUCACGCAUUUAAAAAAAUCAAUUUUGAAUUAAAAUUUUCAUUUAUUAGAAUAAAGUUCACUGGAUUUUGAAAAAAAAGUCACGGAUUUGAAAGAAGUUCAUCGACUUUGAUAAAAGAAUUCACAAAUUUGAAAAACAUUCAUCAAUUUUGAAAAAGUGCCACGAAUUUGGAAAAAAUGUGAACAAAUAAAGUUAACGAAUUUGAAAAAAGAUCACCUAAUUUUGAAAAAAGGUUCGCGGAUUUGUGAAAAGUAUGUUGAUUGUGAUAAAAAUAAAUUUCAAAAAUUUGAAUGAAGUUAAUCAAUUUGAUAAAGUUCCCAAUUUGAAUAAAGUUCCAAAUUUUAUUAUUUUUCUAUGCAUCUUAGAAAAUAAAAAGAAAAAAGAAAAAAGAAAAAAGUAAACAAAAAAUUAACAACCCGAGCGAAAAAAACAGAUGAAAAAUUGGACAAACAAGAAAAGUCUAGAAGGCGCAGAAUAAGAAGCAACAGAAGUAUUAGAAAGCAUAGUGUGUGAGCCGUCCGAGUUGGUUACUGAAUUUGGAAGAAGACGGUGAGGUUCUAAGUUUGAACCUCACGACCCGCGUGACCUUUUGAAGGUUGAAAAAGAAGAAAAAUGGGCCGAGCCCAGGACACAGAGGGUGUACGCCGGUUUAUUCAUGUGCCUUAAAGUGGAGCAGGGGAAGGGAAUGCUCUUUUGCUGCUGACUAUCUUGUAUGGGCUUCUUCGAUCCCGACAGGUGGGGCACAAUCAGGGCAAGUUUGAUGAGGAUAAUGGUAUGUCAGAGGAUGAUAUCGAUCCAGGUGCGGCGACCAAGUGUAACGAGCUUAAAAAAAUUCAGAACGCCGCACCCCAUGCCUAGUCAGGAUCCACCUUGUGAUGCUACCGAUGCAUCGAACUCCCCGACAUAUUUUAAAUGUUCAGAACUUUUUUAAAUAAAAUAGCACAUUUACACAAAAUAAAUGUAUGUUGUCAUAAAAUUUCAAAUUAAAAUUUUAAAAUAGUGUAUGUUGUCUCAAAAACUCAAACUAAAAUUCAAAACAUAGCUCAAAAAACAAAAUGACAAAUUUGACAAUAAAUAGUACACCCCUCAACUCUAGCCCUAGUCUAAUUUACACCCCCAACUCCAAUAUCAUCUAGUUUACACCCCACAACUCUCAAAACCAGCUAGAAUUCAACCCUCCCCUCCCUGUUGACCGGUUUUGACCUGUUGACUGGGUGAACAGUAAAUUUAAAAGGAAUAAAAAAUUUAAAGAAAACAUGUUUAACCGAGUGAACAGUAAAUUCACAAGGAUAUAAAUAAAAAAUUCAAAAAAUAAAUUUGUUUUUUUAUUUUUUAUUUUGUUUGGUGAACAGUAGAUUCAGAAAAAUAAUAAAAAACAAAAAAAGACAAAUGUGACGUCUGUGAAACAGUUAACAAUACAUACUGUUCGGGACAAUCUUUUUUGUUGAGAGACCACUCAAAUAUCCAAACAAGCUGAAAAAUCGGCGCGGACAUCACGCAUUGAAAAUCAUCCAUGCAAAAAUAAUUCCGUUUUUUUUGAAAAAUUUAGUAUUUUUUUGAAUUUACUAUUCAGCCGGUAAAAAAUCAAAAAUGUUUGUUGAAUUUUAUUUCCAACUUUUUUAAAUUUACUGUUCACCCAUCGACAAACAAAAUUAUUUUUUGAUUAUUUUAGUUAUUGUUCAGCCAGUCAACGGGUCAAAUCUGGUCAACUGUGUCAAAACUGGUCAAUAUGGAGGCGAGGUUGAAUUUUGGCCGGUUUUGAGAGUUAGGGGGUGUAAACUAGACGGUAUUGAACUUGGGGGUGUAUAUUAGACUAGGUCUAGAGUUAAGGGGUGUAAUAUGCACUUCUCUCCUUUAGAUUUGACCCCUUGUCACAUUGAUGUCUAAUUAAUCACCUUUGUAUCUCGAGCAGUGUUUUGAAUUUUGAUAUAAAAUCUUAUGAUAAUAUACAUCGAUGUUGCAUCAAUAUGCUAGAUUUUAGAAGAAAAGAAACCCUCGGGUUUUCGGGGCAUUGCAUUCUCACCCAUCUCUUCAUACUCAAGCGACGUUCUCUCUUCUACUUCGUUGACUCUCGCUUUCGCGGUUGCCUCUCUAAGGCGGACACUAUCCUAUCAAUGCAUUUUGGCAUCCCACACCUUUAUUUUUUUGCGAGAAACUUUCAGUCUAUUCAUUUUCAAUCAUGGUGGUUCAAAGAAUAACAGUGGUAAUAAAAACUUAGCCCCCUUUCGUACAACCUGUUCUCUCUUUGUGAAAGGCCUCUGAUUUCAUGAUCUAAUUUGAAGAACUGGCUUAAGAUCGUAGCUCUAGUUGAAAAAAUCCCCCACUCAAGUUAGGCCCUGGAAAACCAACCAAAGAAUGGAAGGAAUGCGCGAUGGAGGCCCUCGUAAAUUAUAAUUUGAACUAUAGCCAGGGCAAAUCUCUUAAUAUCGGAGGUUGGUUUCUAGGCAGGUGCAUAGGAGCCGUCAAAGGAAAGGCGAGAAGCCUUGGCUUUGAUGCACCCCGAUUUAUACAAAAAGGAUCAGAGGUCAAAUUAGUUAACGAAUUAUGAUAUUUGUGAAACAUACAUAAUGUGCUACCCCUCCGUUCCAUAAUGUAAGACUUUUUUUGAUACUACAAUAGUCAAAAAAAUAUGUUACAUUAUGAAACGGAGGGAGUAGAUUUUUAAACAAGGGAACUUCAAUGAAGCCAGAUUCUAUUUUUUAAACAAGGAAUUUCAAUGAAGCCAGAUUCUAUUUUUGCAAAUGCUGCAGCGACUUCUUUGACAGGAAUUCAUCAAUAAAAAAAGUGGAAGAGCAUGAAGCUUCAUUCCCUUGCAAGCUGAUAUGGCGCCUGGCAUUCCACAUUCAAAACAAGCAAUCUCGGGCCGCAGCUUCUAAGAAUCUCAGCUAGCAGGUUUUGCAGCGACCCUCCCCGAGAGGAUAACUAAGGGCGUGUUUGGUUGCCCGCAUAAGAUCCAACCAGGCCCGCGCGUGAAGGAUUCGGCCUGUUUGGUAGCCUGCAUACAUUAUUGGGCCUACAUCGCAUGCUUCUUAAAGCAUCUCAGGGCCUGGCUCACUGAAAACGCACGAAUCGGCAGUUUCUCUAGGGACAGGCCCGAGCGGUGCACGUGGGCGGGCGCGGCUGCACGCGCGCGGCCACGCUCGAGAAGCCGCGUUGCUUCCCGAAGCACCGGCAGUUAUUAGCCUCACCGCCCCUCACCGCUCCCUCUCCCCACUCUUCCCCACUCUUCCAACUCUCACCGGCGGCGGCGGAUUGGAACAGAGGAAGAAGACCACCGGACUCCAUCACCAGCGACGGCGGAUCAGAGCAGAGGAAGAAGACCACCAGACUCCAUCAAUGGUGGUAAGCACUUCUCUCUCUUCGACAUGAACACUUGAUUCGAUCCACGGCGAUAGAUUUGAUCCACGGCGGACGAGAAUGGGGAACAGAGGUAGCUAAGCAUAGGGGUAAUUCAUACUAGUUCAUAGCAGUUCAUACGAGUUCAUACAUAGCAGUUCAUACAUGCAAGAUCGGUAGAUUUCGCGAUUGGGGGAUAGGGGAAUAGGGGGAAAGGGGGUACAGAACGGACACCGGCUGACCGUGGCGGCCGUCACCGGCGUGCGGAGCGGCUGGUCGAGCCGCUGGCCUUCAUCUUCUUAUUCAUCGCCGUGCGGUCCGGCGGGUCAUCCUCGGCGGAGUCGAGGUCGGUCUGCCAAGUAGGACGGACUGGCUUCGGUGCCCUAACCGCCUCUUCUUCCUCCUCCUUAGACUCCCCGCCAAUGACCGCCGACGGCGCGAUACCCGUCCCCAGUACACUGCGGCACGGCGGUCAUUAGGAGCCCAGUAGGUCUUGUACUUGCACCACUUCUUCCUCUGUUUAGGGUCGUCGGAGACGGCCUGAUUCAUGGCCCAGCAAAUGAUGUCAACUGCCAUCGCACCCUUCGCUGGGUCAGGAAUCAGUGUCUUCAGCUCAUCUUUAGUGGCCUUCAUGAGCACGACAUUGGAUUCGUUCUGCAUGUCCAGCAUGGAGCCGAAGUUCGAGCACACCUCCAUGGUGUUCUCGAACUUGGUCCGAUCACCAGCCGUCCACCCGAGAAAGAAGGCCCUCCAGCCAAUACCCCAAGGGAAGGGGUUGCCGUUGGAGCUGGAGCUAGAGCUCAUGGCGAUAGGGAGGAGGAAGGUUGACAGUGAGAGAAGAGAGGGGGUGGGUAAAUAGUGGUGGGUAGGGUGAGUAAAUAUAGGGGGUGGAGAGGAGGAGAAGAGUGACAGUCAUGUCGUUUUAACUACAAGCUCUUGAAUUAGCCAUGAACUCUGUGCAAUGCCUGAUUCCAUGACUUGUGUGCAGAUCGAGGAUAGCAAUGAGAUGGGCACGGAGGUACUCUCGGCCGUUGAUAGCAAGGGCAAGCAGCCCCUUCACCCAAUGCCUGACGAGGUUGAGCUACCGCCCACCACCGAGGAAGACCCGAAAACGCGUGAGGGUGGCGACGACGAGGGCAUGGAGGAGCCCCUAGCAACAAGUGCCGCAACUACGGCCACUACCAUCAAGAGGAUGACCCAACUCACUUCCGCAAGGUCAUCCUUGCACCGAAGCUUGAGUGCAUCCCCAUGCCCCUGGACUUCACCAAGCACUUCGUCGCGGUGCCGACGGAGUUCAAGCUCAGGAAGAACACCGACUGCUCCUGGAAGGUAACGGUCAAGCUGAUGAACGGCAGGGUGACCCUAGAUCAGGGUUGGGCCACCUACGCAGCCGUUCAUCAGAUCAACAUCGGCUACAUGGUGAUGUUCAAGCUCCUCACUCCCGACACCCUCAAGGUCAUCAUCUUCGACGACGAUAGCAUUGAGGUCAUCAACAAGUGCGGGAAGCACAACGAAGCCUUCGCCGCCAAGGAGUAGGGCCGGGGCACCUUCUUUUUAAUUACUAUCGAGUCUGCUUUGAACUGUUUAUGGUUUAUGCGUUGAAAUGUUAUAUCUGUGGUACUGCUUAUAUCUGAAUUAUGCUAGUUGAUGCUCUGUUUAUACUCUGUUGUGCUUAUGAUGUGUGAUGCCAAAGUGUGGUGGUAACCUCACCAACUAGCCAAAUAGAUUACCACACAUCAGGCCUUGCAUAUAAUAAAACACCAUGCCUUGGGUUUGUGGACUAACAUGCAGGCAACCAAACACCAGGCAGUGUGGUUCAGCCCAUGCAGGUAAGAGGGCAUGCAGGCAACCAAACAACAUGCAUAUGGUGCAUUUGAGGCUGCAUUUGCAUAGCCAGGUUGGAUGGAGAAAUUUAUGCAAUGCGGGUACUGUAGCACACGGCAACCAAACACGCCUUAGGAAGCUCACUCUAAUUAGACCAGCUGCAAUACGUUGGAUGUUAGGAUCCUCCUAGCAUGUACACGUACAGAGGCUGCCCCUUGGACCAGCCCAUGGACUUGGCCCUCGGUGCAGCUACUUAAGCAUGGUGUACAGAAGGAGAGGGUAUCCAGUGGAUCACGAACGAACCGACGACGGCUCUUUCCUCCUACCUUCUUCCCCCUGUUGCAAGCUUCCUCUGUUCUUCUCAUCCAUUGUGUAAUUCCUCUGUAAUCACUACUCUAUAUUGCUACUCGUGAGAGAGAUCGAUCUAUACAAGCUAGCUACCAUCACCUCUCUUACAUCUGGUAUCAGAGACCAGCCACCACUCCUUCCCUAUGCGUUUCGCCAAGCUCGUCGGCAUCGGGCAGCCAUGGAUCCAUGGAUGCAGGCGUAUCUCGAGCGGAUCGACACCAUGCUCGAUGCCUACACAGACGCCACCAGGUCCCUCACCGAGAAAGUGGACGCUCUGGUCGUCGUCUGGCGGCCAGACCUGGAGAAGAGGUCCUCCCACACCGCCGUCGUCCACGGUCCACCGGCGCCGACCUCGGCGCUCGAGACCACUACUGAGGCGUCUGAACCCGUCCCUAACAUCUACUACUCCACCACCAAGGCCCAGGAGAUCCCCACGGUCGCCCAUGAUGCAACUCCGAUAUGCAUUCCGAUGGUGCCUGUCACCUGUUCGACGGAUUGCCCGACCCAGAUCGACGCCAUCGACAGCGCCGACGAAGUCCAUGACGCCGCCAGCGUCGCAACAGAGGUUCGCAACACUACAACCGCACUCGGCCCCGAGCUCGCGGUCGACCUCUGCAACACCUGUGGUCACUAUGGCAAGUUCGACGGCCUCAACAUCCCCGUGAAGGCCAGCAUCAGCCCGCCGCCCCACGUCCAGGAUGCAUUCCCAAAUUCCACAAUCAGCAAUUGUCGUGCCGAUGUUGCCGGGACGGACGAGUACGCACUCGUGGAGGCCACUCCAGACGUCGCCAUUGAGCUUGCCAUCCUCCCAGGCGUCUCCUCCUUCAUGAACAAACUAUUCUGGAAGCAUGACAUGGACGUCUCGCCGCCCACAAGGCACAAAGGGCUGCCAAUACGGCCGACACCAUGGCCGUCAUUUUUGGUGCAUCAUAGUGCAAAGGGGAACGAGAUUCGACCCACUCCGUGGCUAUCGUUUUCUUGCUCUCAUGAAGGUAUGACUCUGAAUCAUGAAACUCUGCUGCCUCAUGUUACAUGUGUGAUGAAGAAAUUACUUGCUAGAGGAUGCACUGAUUUCACACUCGGAAAGACUGGUUUACCCAGAUUUCACGUUGAUAAUUCCGCGUAUAGUUCUAAGCAAGUUGGUGAUCUUUUGGUGCACCGACCGCUUGUGAUACUGAAGCAUAGGGGCUGCCUAAAACCUUUGAGCAGCAAGACUGAAGUACCUUGUUGGUGUGAUCACUUCAUCAGCAGAAGUCCACAAAUAUCCCAGGCAAUGCAUUGCCAACUAGUAAAUGAGCUGAAACCUUCUUGGCUGCUGAAUUAUUUAUCUGUUGUCCUGAAUUCUUUCUCAACAUUCUCAAGAUAUUUGCCAAGGGUAGAGCAGGUGCCCAGUAUUUUUCUGAAGGUUGUUUCCAGGAUCCGUAUGGUGCCAAUAGAUAUUCUUAUUCUGAGCAAUCGGUUAAUCCUAUUACCUCUCUCAUGGUUGUCCACUGUUGUGGCCUGAUUCCCGUGGAGGAGCACUUCAAUUGUGUGCAAAAUACCGAGUUGCAGUUUUCCUAUUUACUAGCUGGAAGAACAUAUACUGAUAAAUGGUUAAGUCAAAAAGGUUCCGAGGGAAUUGAGUGCUUGGAUAUCUUGUUGAUCAGUCUACAGUGUAUUGACGACCGCCUAGCAGAAAUUAUGUUCGAUGAGAUUGCGCUGCAGCUUGCUACACAUUGCAAGGAAUUUGGCAUUGCAGGAGAGGUGUUGAACAGCUAUGUUUCUCCUGUUGCUUCAGUGGAGCACCCACCCUGUACUUUUGGGCAGCUUAUCCUAUUUGUGUCAAUGCACUGGAACAAUUCAUGUCGGAAGGGAUUCAAAAGAAGUGGUCAUACUGCAAUCAGCUUACACGUACAAGAGUAAUUCACUAGUGUGUGAAACUGCUAGUUCAGUUAAAGGGUUGACUGGAUUGAAAUCUGAGGAUGUCGGGUCUAACUCAAUAACAUUCUCAAGGAGGGAGGGGUGUCAUCGCUGUCGCAGCCCGCUUCGCGCAAAGCUCCAUCGACCACAAGUACUACAUUGACUUUAACAAUGACUACUUCCUCGACAGUUCCUUCGGUGGGAUCGCAAUCGUCCAUAACUACUACUCCCAUGUUGUUAAAGCCAUCUCUGCCUUUAGCUGCCGCUACGACUUUGAGCCAGUCAAGGACCAUCGAGUGCAAUGGGACCCGGGCGAUUUUCGGUGGCACCGGCUUGGGGUCAAGCCGGAUUUCAAGGAGGGAGGGAUGUUAGGAGCCUCCUAGCCUGUACACGUACAAGGGCUGCCCCUUGGACCAGCCCAUGGACUUGGCCCUCGGUGCAGCUACUUAAGCGUGGUGUACAGAAGGAGAGGGUAUCCAGUGGAUCACGAACGAACCGACGACGGCUCUUUCCUCCUACCUUCUUCCCCCUGUUGCAAGCUUCCUCUGUUCUUCUCCUCCAUUGUGUAAUUCCUCUGUAAUCACUACUCUAUAUUGCUACUCGUGAGAGAGAUCGAUCUAUACAAGCUAGCUACCAUCACCUCUCUUACAUCUGGUAUCAGAGACCAGCCACCACUCCUUCCCUAUGCGUUUCGCCAAGCUCGUCGGCAUCGGGCAGCCAUGGAUCCAUGGAUGCAGGCGUAUCUCGAGCGGAUCGACACCAUGCUCGACGCCUACAUCGACGCCACCAGGUCCCUCACCGAGAAAGUGGAUGCCCUGGUCGUCGCCUGGCGGCCAGACCUGGAGAAGAGGUCCUCCCACACCACCGUCGUCCACGGUCCACCAGCGCCGACCUCGGCGCUCGAGACCACUACUGAGGCAUCCGAACCCGUCCCUAACAUCUACUACUCUACCACCAAGGCGCAGGAGAACCCCACGGUCGCCCAUGAUGCAACUCCGAUAUGCAUUCCGAUGGUGCCUGUCACCUGUUCGACGGAUUGCUCGACCCAGGUCGACGCCAUCGAGAGCGCCGACGAAGUCCAUGACGCCACCACCGUCGCAAUGGAGCUUCACAACACUACAACUGCACUCGGCCCCGAGCUUGCGGUCGACCUCUGCAACACCAUGGCGACCACCAAGGUAGCCACCUGUGGUCACUACGGCAAGUUCGACGGCCUCAACAUCCCCGUGAAGGCCAGCAUCAGCCCGCCGCCCCACGUCCAGGAUGCAUUUCCAAAUUAUUCCACAAUCAGCAACUCCCGCGCCGAUGUUGCCGGGACGGAUGAGUACGCACUCGUGGAGGCCACUGCAGACGUCACCAUUGAGCUUGCCAUCCUCCCAGGCGUCUCCUCCUUCAUGAACAAGCUAUUCCGGAAGCAUGACAUGGACGUCUCGCCGCCCGCAAGGCACAAAGGGCUGCCAAUACGGCCGACACCAUGGCCGUCAUUUCUGGUGCAUCAUACUGCAAAGGGGAAUGAGAUUCGACCCACUCCGUGGCCAUCGUUUUCUUGCUCUCAUGAAGGUAUGACUCUGAAUCAUGAAACUCUGCUGCCUCAUGUUACAUGUGUGAUGAAGAAAUUACUUGCUAGAGGAUGUAGUGAUUUCACACUCGGAAAGACUGGUUUACCCAGAUUUCACGUUGAUAAUUCCGCGUAUAGUUCUAAGCAAGUUGGUGAUCUUUUGGUGCGCCGACCGCUUGUGAGACUUAAGCAUAGGGGCUGCCUAAAACCUUUGAGCAGCAACACUGAAGUACCUUGUUGGUUUGAUUACUUCAUCAGCAGAAGUCCACAAUACCCCAGGCAAUGUAUUGCCAACUAGAAAAGGAGCUGAAACCUUCUUGGCUGCUGAAUUAUUUAUCUGUUGUCCUGAAUUCUUUCUCAACAUUCUCAGGAUAUUUGCCAAGGGUAGAGCAGGUGCCCAAUAUUUUUCUGAAGGUUGUUUGCAGGAUCCGUAUGGUGCCAAUAGAUAUUCUUAUUCUGAGCCAACCGGUUAACCCUAUUACCUCUCUCAUGGUUGUCCACUGAUGUGACCUGAUUCCCGUGGAGGAGCACUUCAAUUGUGUGCAAAAUACCGAGUUGCAGUUUUGCUAUUCACUGGCUGGAAGAACAUAUACUGAUAAACGGUUAAGUCAAAAUGGUUCCGAGGGAAUUGAGUGCUUGGAUAUCUUGUUGAUCAGUCUACAAUGUAUUGACGACCGCCUAGCAGAAAUUAUGUUCGAUGAGAUUGCGCUGCAGGUUGCUAUACAUUGCAAGGAAUUUGGCAUUGCGGGAGAGGUGUUGGGCAGCUAUGUUUUUCCUAUUGCUUCAGUGGAGCACCCACCCUGUACUUUUGGGCAGCUUAUCCUAUUUGUGUCAAUGCACUGGAACAAUUCAUGUCGGAAGGGAUUCAAAAGAAGUGGUCAUACUGCAAUCAGCUUACUCAUUGGCAAUGCAUGGCGACGGUGUUCCAAUCUCCUUGAAAAUUGCAUAAUGAUCCUCCGAGGUCUAUUAUGGUGCUUGUGGUUUGUGAGAGAGUACAAUGAAGAUUGUUGUUUCACUAAGCAGCCAUUACAUGAUGGUAAACAGGCUUUCGACACUAUGUGCAUGUUCUAUUAGUACGGCUCUUGUACUACACCUAUCUUGCGACAAUGGAUGCACAUCUAUUUCAGAGCAUGCAGAGAAUGGGUUCCCUGAGCACAGAAAGUUCGAGCAUUAUUUUUCUUCAGUCAAUGCAACUUCAGCCAUAUGUGCUAGUCUGCUGCGUUAUCUUCUCAGUGCAGUCCUCUUAUGAAUUAUAUGAGCAUUGUGUACUGGAGCGUGCUGUCAUAUUUCUGGGUGUGACAAAAUGCAGGGGGCAAAUCAGAUUAUGAGCAUGUUAGUGGUAUGGAUUUUCUGAGUGAAGAUGAAUUUAAGGGGAAUGGUCGUGUGGAGAUGCUCAGAUUCAGGAGUAAUUCACUAGUGUGUGAAACUGCUAGUUCAGUUAAAGAGUUGACUGGAUUGAAAUCUGAGGAUGUCGGGUCUAACUCAAGAACAUUCUCAAGGAGGGAGGGGUGUCAUCGCUGUCGCAGCCCGCUUCGCGCAAAGCUCCAUCGACCACAAGUACUACAUUGACUUCAACAAUGACUACUUCCUCGACAGUUCCUUCGGUGGGAUCGCAAUCGUCCAUGACUACUACUCCCAUGUUGUUAAAGCCAUCUCUGCCUUCAGCUGCCGCUACGACUUUGAGCCAGUCAAGGACCAUCGAGUGCAAUGGGACCCGGGCGAUUUUCGGUGGCACCGGCUUGGGGUCAAGCCGGAUUUCAAGGAGGGAGGGAUGUUAGGAGCCUCCUAGCCUGUACACGUACAGGGGUUGCCCCUUGGACCAGCCCAUGGACUUGGCCCUCGGUGCAGCUACUUAAGCGUGGUGUACAGAAGGAGAGGGUAUCCAGUGGAUCACGGACGAACCGACGACGACUCUUUCCUCCUACCUUCUUUCCCCUGUUGCAAGCUUCCUUUGUUCUUCUCCUCCAUUGUGUAAUUCCUCUGUAAUCACUACUCUGUAUUGCUACUUGUGAGAGAGAUCGAUCUAUACAAGCUAGCUACCAUCACCUCUCUUACAUCUGGUAUCAGAGACCAGCCACCACUCCUUCCCUACGCGUUUCGCCAAGCUCGUCGGCAUCGGGUAGCCAUGGAUCCAUGGAUGCAGGCGUAUCUCGAGCGGAUCGACACCAUGCUCGACGCCUACACCGACGCCACCAGGUCCCUCAUCGAGAAAGUGGACGCACUGGUCGUCACCUGGCGGCCAGACCUGGAGAAGAGGUCCUCCCACACCGCCGUCGUCCACGGUCCACCAGCGCCGACCUCGGCGCUCGAGACCACUACUGAGGCGUCCGAACCUGUCUCUGGCAUCUACUACUCCACCACCAAGGCCCAGGAGAUCCCCACGGUCGCCCAUGAUGCAACUCCGAUAUGCAUUCCGAUGGUGCCUGUCACCUGUUCGACGGAUUGCUCGACCCAGGUCGACGCCAUCGACAACGCCGACGAAGUCCAUGACGCCGCCACCGUCGCAACGGAGGUACGCAACACUACAACAGCACUCGGCCCCGAGCUCGCGGUCGACCUCUGCAAGACCAUGGCGACCACCAAGGUAGCCACCUGUGGUCACUACGGCAAGCUCGACGGCCUCAACAUCCCCGUGAAGGCCAGCAUCAGCCCGCCGCACCACGUCCAGGAUGCAUUCCCAAAUUAUUCCACAAUCAGCAACUGUCGCGCCGAUGUUGCCGGGACGGAUGAGUACGAACUCGUGGAGGCCACUCCAGGCGUCGCCAUUGAGCUUGCCAUCCUCCCAGGCGUCUCCUCCUUCAUGAACAAGCUAUUCCGGAAGCAUGACAUGGACGUCUCGCCGCCCACAAGGCACAAAGGGCAGCCAAUACGGCCGACACCAUGGCCGUCAUUUCUGGUGCAUCAUAGUGCAAAGGGGAAUGAGAUUCGACCCACUCCGUGGCCAUCGUUUUCUUGCUCUCAUGAAGGUAUGACUCUGAAUCAUGAAACUCUGCUGCCUCAUGUUACAUGUGAGAUGAAGAUUACUUGCUAGAGGAUGCAGUGAUUUCACACUCGGAAAGACUGGUUUACCCAGAUUUCACGUUGAUAAUUCCGCGUAUAGUUCUAAGCAAGUUGGUGAUCUUUUGGUGCGCCGACCGCUUGUGAUACUGAAGCAUAGGGGCUGCCUAAAACCUUUGAGCAGCAACACUGAAGUACCUUGUUGGUUUGAUUACUUCAUCAGCAGAAGUCCACAAAUACCCCAAGCAAUGUGUUGCCAACUAGAAAAGGAGCUGAAACCUUCUUGGCUGCUGAAUUAUUUAUCUGUUGUCCUGAAUUCUUUCUCAACAUUCUCAGGAUAUUUGCCAAGGGUAGAGCAGGUGCCCAGUAUUUUUCUGAAUGUUGUUUGCAGGAUCCGUAUGGUGCCAAUAGAUAUUCUUAUUCCGAGCCAAUCGGUUAAUCCUAUUACCUCUCUCAUGGUUGUCCACUGUUGUGACCUGAUUCCCGUGGAGGAGCACUUCAAUUAUGUGCAAAAUACCGAGUUGCAGUUUUGCUACCCACCCUGUACUUUUGGGCAACCUAUCCUAUUUGUGUCAAUGCACUGGAACAAUUCAUGUCGGAAGGGAUUCAAAAGAAGUGGUCAUACUGCAAUCAGCUUACACAUUGGCAAUGCAUGGCGACGGUGUUCCAAUCUCCUUGAAAAUUGCAUAAGGAUCCUCCGAGGUCAAUUAUGGUGCUUGUGGUCUGUGAGACAGUGCAAUGAAGAUUGUUGUUUCACUAAGCAGCCAUUACAUGAAAGUAAACAGGCUUUCGACACUAUGUGCAUGUUCUAUUAGUACGGCUCUUGUACUACAGUAUUCCUAUCUUGCAACAAUGGAUGCACAUCUAUUUCAGAGCAUGCAGAGAAUGGGUUCCCUGAGCACAGAAAGUUCGAGCAUUAUUUUUCUUCAGUCAAUGCAACUUCAGCCAUAUGCGCUAGUCUGCUGCGUUAUCUUCUCAGUGCAGUCCUUUUAUGAAUUACUAGUAAUUUGCCCGUGUGUUGCUAUGGAAUAAAAUAGAUGUAUAUGAAUAUAUUACAAAAAAAUCAUUGCAUUUUGUGGAAUCCCUACCACAUACUCGUUGGGUUCUGUUUCUCUUAAUUUGUUUAUCUCCUCUUCCAUUCCCUCACAUUUGUUCUCUCCGGUCACCAACUCUUCCUCUAGCCCCUCCAUCACUUCCUCCAACUUUGAUGAAUCUCAUCCAUGGAUGUUUAGAGCUGAAGAAUGGUGACACAUUAAGUGACAACGUGGGUUUCACUUUUUAGAUGCCACUUUCUUUGAACCCCUAAACACAAACACAUAUUAUUUCUAGCCUCGGUUUCUUUUCCUCCCUAGCAUUUUCCACCUUAGCCUUUUAGACACCUAAUUUGUUUUGUCCCCCUUUACCACGGUGACAAUUUGAAUUCAUAUGGUUAAAAACAUAAAAAUCACAUAUGCUCUUAAAUGCAAUGGCAAAAAGUAAUCUGGUGAGCUCUCUCUAAAUCAAAAUGUCCAAGACAAAACUGGACACCGUGUACAUGUACUGUAGAUCAGUAGUGUAGUUACUUAGAACUUGGACAAUAUUCUUGAUAAUUUUUGCAACAAGAAGUUGAGGGCCACUAUGGACUAAUUCUGUAUAGUAUAUAAUGUUACAGAUAUGACUGUGAUGUUGUGAAAAUAAAGUGAAUAGUUUCAAUAGUCAACAUGCUGUAAAGUAUCCUCUUAAGUUGAGGCCCUACCGCUGCUAUGAGGCAAAUUAGUAAAUUUACACGCUUGAUUGCAAAUGGAACAACGGCACAUACUUUGUGGUGCUUAAAUAAGCUAGGGUGAUGUAGUGUCAAUUAAAGAGUGGAAGGUGAUUAUUUUCUAACAAUAUAGGAUGAAAGCACAAGACAUUUUGAGAUCCUUGGAUUCACACGGAACAUAACAAAAGUAACACACAGAUCAAUCAAAUACUAUAUCUUUAAACAAAACAAAACCAGUAAUUAGUUUUCGACCAUACAUUGUACAUUACAGCGACAAACAUUAGUUCCAAAAUGACACCCAAUUCAACAGAUAUGUAGCAGCUUAAUGAGCCAUGUUACAAUAAUCAAGAACCAAAAUAGACACUUCUUUCCAUCUAUGCAUUCUUGCUGGCAAGAGUCACAGCUCAAGUCUUCUUUCUCCUAAGUGCAUUUCUUGCUUCUUUGUCUUAGAUUGGAUCUUUCAGUACUACAGAGGAACAAUGCAAGCACAAAACAUUCGAGCAAGAAUAUCUGAAAGUGCGUCAUCUACCGUCCUUGGUUCAAAAGGUCUAGACAAAAGGCUCCAACAUCAUGCCAUACUACUAAAGCUUGCUCCUGAUCCAUGAGUGUUUUACUAAGAUCGUUGUCGAUCCUGCAAAAGUAUUUAUACUUAAAUUUGGCAUAAAUGUGUUCCUUGCAUUACCUCUGAUCCAUCUGACGCCAGCUGCAAUAGAGCAGUGCUAUCCAGACGACAUUAUUUGGACGAUUUGCAGCCGACGAUUGAAUCCAGCCGUGCAAUCUUGUUCACGGCAGAGCAACGGCCGGUGGAUUCUUUAAUCGUGCACAGAUCGUCCAAAAGUUUAUCGUGUGUGAAGCAGUUUCGGCUGCAAUAUUUGGACCAAAGUACCCCUUGCUAAAAACAGUAGUAUGCAGAUCGUGCUCUACUUGAAGACAAAACGAUGAUUAAUAUAUAUAAAUGAUGCUAUGGAUACAUGAUACAAUUAGAUUAUCUAUAACGAAUAAACCAGCACCAUCCUUACCAACUUCAUGCUUUACUCUCAGCAUGGUAACUACAACGAUGGUACACGCCUCAACACUUAUCGGCCAAGUGGUUUGAUUAUUGUCACUAACUAAUUUCUGAACUUAUCUGUAUACUAACUGUUUGAAGUAAGCACUAAAAAGUACAUGCUGCUCAUGUUCAGGGAGAUGACGUACUUUAGAGAACCCAUACAUAACAGACAAAGUUUCAAAACGUACAAGAAGUCCAAACAUCAUGGAUAAAAUUAGAAUCCAAGAUUCUUGUCUCGUGCACACAUUCAUCUACAACCACGAGCUGCAGUUCACUUAAUUAUGAAGUAUGAACUAACUCAUCAAGGACUCAGUUAAGCAUCAGCAGGAGUAAGACAGAGGAGGUGGAAAUGCGCUCGGAUGGAAGCAAAUCAGAGCAGAGCACGACGUACUGUCCACAUGUUUGUCGACAUGGUGGCAUUGCGCUCCUGAGGAUCCGGUGCAGCUCUGGAGCGAGAGCGCCGACAUGGGGUGUGACCUCCAUGCGGUCUGGUGAUGGCAGGUGGGCAGUGGGCAUGCCCGCAGGGUGUGCGGCCUCCAGACAGUCGCAAGUACGGCGAACGAGCACGCUUGAAGAGGUUGCGGCUUCCGCGAUUCAUUGACGGUGAGCUAGUAGUACUGGCAGCGGUAGUGGCCACCACGCGGCACGGGUGACAGCGAGCGAGCAGGGCAUCAGACACAGAGCGUGAUGGACAGAAAGAAAGACACAGGAAGGGAGAGGGAUGAAGAAGCUGGGAGAAUUGGGGCGGUGUACAUGACGAUCUGAAUUUUGAACUAAGAUUGGGAACACCCAUGUCAGGGGAAGGGGUAUUGGGGGAGGUUGGCGGCAUGGGGGAAGCUGGCGGCAGCAAGACACAUUAGAGGGAGGCCGUGAGCAGGGGAGGUAAGAAGGCUUGGUUGCCUGGCUGCCGGUACGUGGAGCUCGGCGAGGAGGAAGGAGAGGUCGUGUGCGGCGGGGCUCCUACAUCAGAGUCUCGUGUGAGGAAGCAGGAGAGUCCUCGCGGGACUCAAGGGGCGGAUGGCGCCGGCGGCGUAGUUGCCGAUCGUCGGAGGAGAAGGGGUAGGGUUGGAGGAGAAGGUGGUGGGCGGCGGGUCUGCUGCAUCGGAGGAGAAGGCAUGAGAGGAGUCGCAGACUCGGCGGAAGGACGGCACCAGCGGCGUACUUGCCGAUGUCGGCGUCGUAGGAGACGAGGUAGGGGGAGGAGGAGACGACGGGGAGGUGCGUGUGGCGGUGGCCGGUGAGGUUCCUAUGGCAAAGAGGAGGGACGGAGCGCCNNNNNNNNNNNNNNNNNNNNNNNNNNNNNNNNNNNNNNNNNNNNNNNNNNNNNNNNNNNNNNNNNNNNNNNNNNNNNNNNNNNNNNNNNNNNNNNNNNNNNNNNNNNNNNNNNNNNNNNNNNNNNNNNNNNNNNNNNNNNNNNNNNNNNNNNNNNNNNNNNNNNNNNNNNNNNNNNNNNNNNNNNNNNNNNNNNNNNNNNNNNNNNNNNNNNNNNNNNNNNNNNNNNNNNNNNNNNNNNNNNNNNNNNNNNNNNNNNCAAAUGUGAAGUGGGGUUGGCUCCUAUGCGUUGGAUGCAGAUCAAACGGCCCAAAAAGAUAGAUGGCAGGCACACCAUCACCAUCAACUCAGAUUUUUAUAGGAGUAGAGAUAGAGAUAUGAGCAUCGUGUACUGGAGCGUGCUGUCAUAUUUUUGGGUGUGACAAAAUGCAGGGGGCAAAUCAGAUUAUGAGCAUGUUAGUAGUAUGGAUUUUCUGAGUGAAGAUGAAUUUAAGGGGAAUGAUCGUGUGGAGAUGCUCAGAUUCAGGAGUAAUUCACUAGUGUGUGAAACUGCUAGUUCAGUUAAAGGGUUGACUGGAUUGAAAUCCGAGGAUGUCGGGUCUAACUCAAGAACAUUCUCAAGGAGGGAGGGGUGUCAUCGUUGUCGCAACCCACAUCGCGCAAAGCUCCAUCGACCACACAACGACUACUUCCUCGACAGUUCCUUCGAUGGGAUCGCAAUCGUCCAUGACUACUACUCCCAUGUUGUUAAAGCCAUCUCUGCCUUCAACUGCCGCUAUGACUUUGAGCCAGUCAAGGACCAUCGAGUGCAAUGGGACCCGGGCGGUUUUCGGUGGCGCCGGCUUGGGGUCAAGCCGGAUUUCAAGGAGGGAGGGAUGUUAGGAGCCUCUACACAUACAGGGGCUGCCCCUUGGACCAGCCCAUGGACUGCCCUCGAUGCAGCUACUUAAGCAUGGUGUACAGAAGGAGAGAGUAUCCAGUGGAUCACGAACGAACCGACGACGGCUCUUUCCUCCUACCUUCUUCCCCCUGUUGCAAGCUUCCUCUGUAAUCACUACUACCUCCGUUCGGGUUUAUUAAUCCCCAUUGUAUUUCGUGCCAAAUUUUGACCAUAGAUCAAACUAACAAAAUGUUCACGCAUGUCACCAAACAUUAUAUUUUUGAAAACUAUGUUCAAAUACGAAUCCAAUGAGAUAAUUUUUCUUGACAUGCAUUAACAUUUUGUUAGUUAAAUCUUUAGUCAAAAUUUGGCACAAACUACAAAGGGGACCUAUAAACCAGGAGGGAGGUAGUACUCUAUUGCUACUCGUGAGAGAGAUCAAUCUAUACAAGCUAGCUACCAUCACCUCUCUUACAUUGGGUUUCAAUAAUCUGCUGCACAAAAUCUGGUUUUUGAAAGCUUUAUCCUGAGGGACCCUUAAAGCCAUUGCAGCAACACAAUUCUGGCGCAUGCUGCACAAAAUCUGGUUUUGGAAGCUGAGCCCAAGGGACACUUCACACCAUUACGUCCUAACUCGAACACAGUUCUGGCUCUCAACAAGGAUCGCAGCAUCAAACAUCUCAACCAACGAGAACCUCAAACAAGGCAAAAGCAGAAAUCCAAGCCACGGACGAGGCGAAAAGCCAGACAGAAAGGGAGUUGAGUACUGGACUGAACGAUUUAUAUAUUCUUCACAAACCACAACCAAAAAAGAGUACUUGAUUAGCAACUCCAUUACAGAUACUAGAGGUUGAUGCGGAAAACAGAAGGUAACUCAUGUCCAACUAACAUGAACCAGGCGUCGUCUGGCGACACCAUCCACAUUUAUUCUUCGCAUAGACAAAGCAGGGACACCUCUGACCAGGCGCCACAAACGAAAGCAGAACGCUCUACUGAGUCUUGGCCAUGUGGCGGAUCAGGUCGACAACGCGGUUGCUGCAGAGGAAUAAGAUUCAAGUGUCACAGGCUGAAGCUUAAGCGAUGAAACAGCAUGUUGUAGAAAUAAAUGCAUUAUGGCAACUCACCUGUAACCCCACUCGUUGUCAUACCACGAGACAAGCUUGACGAAGUGGUCGUUCAGAGCAAUUCCAGCCUUGGCAU